Molecule: long non-coding RNA, 66471 nt
Filed under: Theobroma cacao (cacao)
Lineage: Eukaryota; Viridiplantae; Streptophyta; Magnoliopsida; Malvales; Malvaceae
Description: long non-coding RNA (TCAC_LNC005044)
Source: RNAcentral
UUGGGGACACCCUUUACAGAAAGCUCUAAUGCCAUCACUUUCUUUUCCUUCCGGACUAAAAAGUUGCUUUGUUUGUUUUUCUUUAUUUGAAAAAAAAAAAACUCCUUCCAAACUAAGUUACCUUGUUGAUAUUAUCCCGGAUCCUAAACCAAUAAAAAGUUAUCUUCUAAGUAAACCAGCUGAGAUCAAGAAGAUCAAAAGGAUACUAGAUCAAAACGAGACUAUAGUUCAGUUCCGAGGGCAAGGAAGAAAGCAUGCGAGGCUGUGAAGAAAAGAAGGCCGUGGUGUCUCACAGAAUCGUCUCCUAUCGUACACAAACAAUGCAAAGGAUUUGUGGGGUGUUUGUGUGUGCAAAAGACAAGAAGGUGAGAUAUGGGCAGCCACAACCAGGGGCGUGUCCCUACUGCGGAGGGACGGUGCAAGCUAUGAACAUAAAGACCCAAUGGAAGUUCUUCUUUUUGCCUCUGUUUUUCUGGAAGAAGAGAAAAUCCUCUUGCAGCACAUGUGAAAGUCGUUGGUGAUUCUGUGAUGAAUUUCGUGUGCAAAAAUGAUGAUAUAGAUAUCUGAGUUGUAACAGUGGUUCUCUCCUAGUUUGCGCAGCGGCAAAGUUGUGGCUGCCGCAAAGGCUUGUUGGACUUUUCUCCUUGUAGUUGCCAGGUGUUUUACGCAUAAAUCUGUCCUUUUGACAGGACUAUAUAUGUGAAUCUUUUGUUUUGUUAGGCAAGUAGCCAGUUUCUGAGUUUAUGGAUAAUGUAAGCUUGUUUAUUAUGCUGAAUGACAGAUCAGUAACGUUAGGUGAUGCUCUCUUUAAAAAUGUCUCUUCACAUUUUCGCUGGCUUAUCUUACAGUACGCAUAAUUUGGGAACGGCAAGCCACUGUUAUUUGCUACCAGAUAAAAUUAAUUUAGGCAGGAGAAAAACUUCUAGCAGACAAGUUUUGUGAUCAAUAACAAGAAGCAAAAGCACUUGGCUGUCUUGGAAUAGCUGACAGGAUAAUGGUUUCCUUGAUCAACUCAAGCAAUAUCUCCGCUCUUUUGUAUCUAUGCUGCCAUUUUAGGACCACCCCAAGCUUUCCCUUUCUGCAAUUGGAACAUGUUUUAUCGCUCCUCCUGGUGCUUCUGAGUUCUGGAAACCAUCUGCGGAAUAUUUUGUGUAAUGUUGACAUUCAAAAUUGUCAAGAAAAGCAAAACGCAAAAGCAUUAUCUUCAGAUACGGGAACAUCUAAGGUAAUUGUUGCUGCUGAGACGAGCUGAAGACCAUGACAUCACCAACAGUUAACUGUCAUUUUGUGUUUUGAACUGUUUUAAUAAUUUCCAAGAAAUAUUGACAGUGUCAGAGCAUGCAGCAGUGACUUGAUUUCUGCCUUCUGCUUGUAGGUAGUGUAAGGCAGUGGUUUAAGCUAUGUUUCUGUAAUCUUUAAGACAAGUCUUAUCUUGCUCUUGUAAGUUACUGAAGUGUAUCAAAUUUCUUCUUUCUUAAUGAAAUUGCAGUGAAGUUAUGUUUCCUGGUUUUUGUCUAUUUUCUGCAAUUCAAUGCUGUAUUUAUGCUUUUUGCUCAUCUAGUUCAACUUGAAUACCAAAAUCUAACAUUAAUAACUGGUAUGGUUUUAGAAUUAGACAAGAACGGGGUUUUCAGUUAUGUGUUCGCUGUCAUCAAACGCCAAUCAUAUUAGUUAAGUACUUUCUUUAUGAACAAAACAACUUGAAGGAGUUACAGCAUCUGCAUAUUAACAAAUGAAAAUAAAGAAAGAAUCCGUACCACUACAGCACUUCCAUAAAAUUUUCUGUCUCAGUGGCAGUCAUGAUUAUGAUUCCUGUCCUGCCAUGAAUUCCAGCCAAAAGCAUUUCAAUUCAGAAUGGCUUCUGGCCUAUCACAUUACCAUGGGGAUCAUAAUUACAUGCGAUCAGUGUGUCUCCACUUUUGCACACAACUUUGGCACACCCAAUCUUCAAGCUAUUCCUCCAAAUUAUCUGAGUAUAAUGCAGGCAGUCUCUGUUUUUCGUGCAAGUAUUAGAAUUAUAGUUGUAGUUACUUUUCUCUGCUGCCCAUGCCGCAACUGCAUCGCCUGGUUUCCAAUCCUUGCCGCUUCCCCAGAAGAGAUUCUCCCCAUAAUUGCCAUUUGAAUGGAUCAAAGCACAGUCACCUUGCCUCUUAUGUGCCCACCAGGAUGCAAAAUUUGCAAGCUUUUUGCUCCAUUUGAGAGGAGGGAGCCCACUCUCUGCUCUUAGAAUGUUGUGGGGUGUUAGAUAUUGUCGAACUGCACCACUAGGAGUUUGUGUAAACAGACGUCUGGAGAUAACAUGGGAAGGAACUUCAUCGCUCAAGUGUGACAAAGUUAAUGGAAGAAGUGAAGAAAGGAGGAGGAAGGUUCCUAGCAGACUACAUGAAAACUUGGUUCUGAUCUCCAUAUUUAAUCUUUUGAAUGGAAAUCACAAGUUAGGCUUUUUGAUGAGCAAGUUGAUUGAAGAUCAGAAGUUAAUUAAGCAAUAUAUACUAGCAUGGAAGAUUUCUGAUGAAAAUUUUUAUAUAAAAGAUAAUAUAUCUUUUCCAUUCUGAGAAAGAAUCAUUUCACAUGGUAGCAGGCUACAAGUUGCAGUACGUUUGAGGUGUAUAACAUGCUUGGGAAACUGCAAUGGGGGAUCAGUUUGACUUUCAACGAACAUAACUGCUUCUAAUCAUUAUAAGCUUAUGAUUAACCAACAUUUUUAGAUAAAAAUGCUCUAUCCCGUUGGAUGUUCUGGUCAUAAUUUUACACCACGUAUCUAGUAAAUUUUUUCUAUAAACGUCACUCUUGCCUUCUUUAAUUUUGCAGUUAAGGUUUAAGAUUUUCUCAUUAAUAACAUAAAACCGAACAGUAAUACAAAAUUAUGAAAAGAAUAUCAUGUGAGACAUAGUUCUUCAUUAGGCAAAUACUGGAGUUUUCUCGAAACAAAAUACGAAGAUGCAAUUAUGCAGGAAUAUGAUGAUUUGAGAAAUAUAUUUGAUAAAGUGGCCUUGGCCGUCAACAUUCUUUCUAAAUAAUAAUCAGAGAAGAAUCUAAUGGAAAGGAAAUGAAUGUCAUACAAGUUAAAAAACUUCUAAGGCACAUGGCAGAUUGGAAGAGGGUUUGGUCACUGAAACACUUCAGCAAAAAAGCCAUUUGAUUGACACGUGAGACCAUGUGAUCCAACUGUGACCGUACAAACAGCAAAUGCAUCAGUUUAAGGGUCGCUUAUAAUAUAAAACUGGGCUGCUUGAAACAUCCCGCGAUCAGAAACAAAAACCCAGAUUAAUUGGCAGCUUCCAGAGUUGUCUGGAUAGGGGGCUAUGUAAGCAUGGUAACAUAAAAUGGUGUCUAACAGAGUAACACAGAUGACACAGGAAGACCCCUGUUUGCCAUUUGGCCUACACAGAGGCAACUAAUAGCUACUUCAGCAAUCUGAAAUGCGAUGAAGACACCAUCAUCCUGCUUAUAUUCCUCCCACUGCUGUUUUCACAAACUAUUUCCUAGAUUAUUAUGAAUCACCAUUUACCAACAACACAAAACCAAUGAAACAGAGCUGCGAGAAUACGAGGAAUGGCUAUGGGCAAGGAAAAGAUUGCCAGGUCCAUCGAAUGGACUCGGGCUCCAAGAAGGGGCGCCCACAGGCCACAAGGCAGGGUGCUGAUUGAUCCUGGGCUCUUGUCCAAUGGACUCAGCCUACCCAUGUUAUUUCUUCAGGCCUAGUGCACUGAGCCCACAAAAGAUAGCUAACAACUUUACGUUUACCCGCCGGCAACUGCGUGAGAGAGGUAGAAAAUACUAUUGAUUUCAGCGCGCUUAGUUGAUGUCACCGUCAUCGCGCAUAAAAUUCUUUGUUCUUACUUUCUUUGAAGAUAAAUUCCUUCUUCGAACCUUCCAUUCCAGGCUCAGGCUCAGCCACACGCGCUUUCAAACAACGCUUCUUCCCUUCCAGACUAACCUAUACUUCUCCGGAUCCUUAAAAGAACUCGCCUUUUUGUCUAUAAAUAUCGUAGCAAGCAAAACGCUCUUGAACAACGAUCUCUUUUGGCUCGUUUCCUUCCAACCAAGAAAUCCCAGAAAGCAAUCAGGCAAUAGACUCUGAUUUCCGUCUACAAGAGCAAGCAAUCAAAACCCCCCCCCCCCCCCCCCCCAACCAAGGUGAUCGAUCGGCGAAAAAGAGGAAGAGACAAAGAUGUGUUUGGUGUUUGUGUGCGAUGAGGAUGAGAGGGUGAUAGCGAGACAGCCGGCAGCAGGGGCUUGUCCCUACUGUGGAGGGAUGGUGCAAGCCAUGGAUGUAGAGAGCCAGUGGAGGUUCUGCUUUUUGCCUUUGUAUUUCAAGACCAAGAGGAAGUACUACUGCAGCUUAUGUGCAAGGCGCUUGGUCAUCCAAUGAUCCCAUUUCUCUCUAUAGAUAUCGGAAUUGGCAUACUUUGUUUGAUUCCUUUCCUUUUGUUUCCCCAAGCCGAUCAUCCCCUCUUCUUUCUUGUACAUAAGUUUGAAUGUUUUGAUCAUAGAAAAAGCUUCUUUAUUUAUUUACUUGCUAUUGAGUUCAUGAGCAUAAAUAAUCUAAAAUCUGAAUGAUCAAUCCUGAAAUCGAUUUUCCUAGGAAUACUUUGGCUUCUUUUUGUUUGGGAUUUUGCCAUAAUUAAAGCUUCAUUAAUUCUCGAAAACUUCAAAUGGAUCGAUGCAGUCUGAGAUUGGGUAUUACCCAUUGCAAAGAUGAGAUGAUCAGCACUCGUUUAGAUUCUAAUUCCAUGACCAUUGACCAGGAACGGGAUUCUCCCUCGGGCUGGAACAUUUUAUUCUAGGCCCUUGCUUCGGCCCAGACAAACAAGCCUCUCACGUGUCCACAAAUUUAGCCCAUGUUGAACCUUGAUCCAAUUUUCAAUUAGAAUGAAAUUAAAGAAAAUAAUUUAACUAAAACGAAAUUAGUUUAAAAAUAAAUACAAUUAAAUUUGUAUACGACUCAUUUCAAAGUUAUAACAUAUACAAUAAUAUAAAUAUAUUAUAACCUAUUAGUAUUACAUUACAAAUCAUUAAAACCCAUAUAUUAUAUAGAAAUUUUAAUUAGUUAGUUGUUUUAUUUUUGAUGGAUUGAUUUUCAAUAUAUUUGUUACUUUGGUUAAAAGUAUUACCAGAUGAUUAACAGAUAAGCUAAUAAUGUUUUUUUAUUUUAUAUUUUUACGUGUCAAAAUGUUAUUGGAUAGAUGGUAUUUUUUCUUUAAAAAAAAAUAAUCCUCAUCUCACGAUAUAGUUAACGCCCGUAAAAAAGGUGAAAAAUUAAAAUUUUCACUGCCAUAAAACGAUAAUCCUUCGCUUCCGCCUAUAAGCUCACAGAGUAGGAAUAGAUCCUUCAUCUUUAGAUCUGAGGAGGGCGUCGUCUUCAUUUUCAAUUUUCCAAUACAAAAAAACGAUGAGCUUAUUUUGAAGAUCUAAAAUUCUCCAACCUCCUCAUAUCCAACAAGAAACACAAAGCUUCUUCGCUUUCACGAACCGGCCUCUCUUCUCGAAGGAUCUGAUCGUUCGAGGUUCCGCUUUCUCUCUAUCGCUCUUUUCAAUUUUUUUCCAGAUCUGUUGAUUUUGCUUUCUACUUGGUUUUCCGGGCGUUUGUUUUUCAUUUACUAUGUUCAUUUCUCUUAUUGCCUGUUUGUUUUUCAUUUUCGAAGCUGAAAUUGUUCGAUUUAGGUUUUGGAUUUCGUGUUCCUUAUUGAUUUGGAUCUUUCAUAGUAAUAACUAUGAGUGGGGAGUAGGAUUGUGCUCUGUGGAUUCGAAUCUGAUUUACAUUUUUACGGCAGUGAGAGUGUGUUAUGUUUAUUGAAUUUGUUAUGUUUUGAUUUGAAUUGUGGAAUUUAGCACUAAUGUUGGAAUUAUAAAGAUGAAAACUAGCGGAUCUUACCUCUUUUCUUUUACUAAGUAGGCCGAUCGACACUGAUUUUCAAUUAAUAACUAAGCUGAGGAGUUUGGAUUUUCAUAAAGAUUCUUUAUUUAGAUCUAUUUCAAUUGUGGCAGUAAGGCAGAUUUGAAUGGAGUUAUAGAUAUAGCACUUUUUUCUUUGAAUUGGGAAUGGUCUAGUUUGAUAGCUCUUCCCGUUUAGUAUAACGAGGCAAUCCCAAAUCUAUAUAUGAUAGAUAUUUCAUGUGAGAUUCAAGUGGAAAUUUUCUCUAAAUUAUUCAUUAAUCAGUAACUGUUAUUUUUUAGAGUUGAGGAGAAAUGUUCUAUGCAAGAUCUGUGUGCAAAUUCUGUAGUAAACAUAUGCUAUUAUUUUCCGGAAAUAUGUUCCUAGGUGGUAACUGAGAGAGGGUAUUGUUUAGGAAGAUGGUCAUAGAACAGAUUUAUCAUUUCAGUUUUCAAUUAACCUCAUGACUUAUGAGAUUUGAAGUAAUUGCUCUUCUUUGUCCAAAAUGGUUCUCUUUCACAGCUACCUAUUAUGAUUUAUGUAAGCUUUGUGAAACUGUCAUGUCAUGGAUGCGUAUUUUAUGCUGAGAUGGCUUUAUUUUAGUCCCAUCUUUGUGAAUCAUCUUUAGUAUUGUACUUUAUUAUGGGUUGUUGAUUUGAAUUUUUAUGUUCCUUUAUAUUGCCAGAAAACUAGCAAAUAAUGGAGAAGUCCUGUACUCUUCUUAUUCACUUUGACAAAGGAACACCUGCAAUUGCUAAUGAGAUUAAGGAAGCGCUUGAAGGCAAUGAUGUUCCCGCAAAGAUUGAUGCCAUGAAGAAAGCGAUUAUGCUUUUGUUGAAUGGUGAAACCCUCCCCCAGCUUUUUAUCACCAUUGUCAGAUAUGUUUUGCCUUCGGAGGAUCACACCGUUCAAAAACUUUUGCUUCUAUACUUAGAGAUAAUUGAGAAAACUGAUGCAAGAGGGAGGGUAUUACCUGAAAUGAUCUUGAUAUGCCAAAAUUUGAGGAACAAUCUUCAACAUCCAAAUGAAUAUAUUCGUGGUGUAACCUUGAGGUUUCUUUGCCGCUUGAAUGAGACAGAGAUUAUUGAACCACUAAUCCCUUCAGUUUUGCAAAAUCUGGAGCAUCGGCAUCCAUUUAUUCGAAGGAAUGCUAUAUUAGCUGUGAUGUCGAUAUAUAAGCUUCCACAAGGUGAGCAGCUGUUGGUUGAUGCACCCGAUAUGAUUGAGAAGGUCCUUUCAACAGAGCAGGAUCCAUCUGCCAAGCGAAAUGCAUUUCUUAUGCUAUUUACUUGUGCACAAGAUCGAGCCACUAAUUACCUCUUGACCCAUGUUGAUAGGGUUUCUGAAUGGGGUGAAUUGCUUCAGAUGGUUGUCUUGGAGUUGAUUCGUAAGGUUUGCAGAACGAACCGUGGGGAGAAAGGGAAGUAUAUUAAGAUUAUUAUAUCUUUAUUAAAUGCCCCAUCAACUGCAGUUAUUUAUGAGUGUGCUGGCACCCUUGUUUCUCUGUCAUCUGCUCCCACUGCUAUUAGAGCUGCUGCCAACACUUAUUGUCAGCUUCUUCUUUCUCAAAGUGACAACAAUGUGAAGCUUAUUGUGCUAGAUCGGUUGAAUGAGCUCAAAUCUUCUCAUAGAGAUAUUAUGGUUGAUAUGAUCAUGGAUGUGCUUAGGGCACUUUCAAGUCCAAAUCUUGACAUCCGUAGGAAGACACUUGAUAUUGUUUUGGAGUUAAUAACUCCCCGAAAUAUCAGUGAGGUUGUUCUUAUGUUGAAGAAGGAAGUUGUGAAGACUCAAAGUGGAGAGCUUGAGAAGAAUGGUGAGUAUAGACAAAUGCUCAUUCAAGCUAUUCAUUCCUGUGCAAUCAAGUUCCCAGAAGUUGCAAGCACAGUUGUGCAUCUGCUGAUGGAUUUCUUGGGAGAUAGUAAUGUUGCUUCAGCUAUUGACGUUGUUGUUUUUGUUCGAGAAAUAAUUGAAACCAACCCUAAACUUAGGGUGUCCAUUAUAACAAGGCUGUUGGACACAUUCUAUCAGAUCCGAGCUGCACGGGUUUGCUCCUGUGCCCUUUGGAUCAUUGGAGAGUAUUGCCUGUCUCUGUCUGAAGUUGAGAGUGGCAUAGCAACCAUCAAGCAGUGUCUUGGAGAGCUACCAUUCUACUCUGUUUCUGAGGAAGGGGAAGCUACUGAUACUUCAAAGAAAACUCCUCAAGCAAACUCCAUUACUGUCUCCUCUAGGAGACCAGCUAUUCUUGCUGAUGGUACUUAUGCAACCCAGAGUGCUGCCUCUGAAACUGCUUUCUCCCCUCCUGCCAUUGUUCAGGGAUCUUUGGCUUCUGGGAAUCUAAGAUCUCUUCUCCUCACUGGCGAUUUUUUUCUUGGGGCAGUUGUUGCUUGCACACUAACUAAACUUAUUCUGAGAUUGGAAGAGGUACAGCCAUCAAAAGUUGAAGUUAAUAAAGCAACCACGCAGGCAUUGCUGAUCAUGGUCUCUAUGCUGCAAUUGGGACAAUCUUCUGUUCUUCCACACCCAAUUGAUAAUGAUUCUUAUGAUAGGAUUGUUCUGUGCAUGAGAUUACUGUGCAAUACUGGUGAUGAGAUCAGGAAAAUAUGGUUGCAGUCUUGCCGUCAGAGCUUUGUUAAAAUGCUUUCAGAAAAACAGUUACGAGAAACUGAGGAAUUAAAGGCAAAGGCACAGGUUUCUCAUGCGCAACCAGAUGACCUUAUCGACUUCUACCAUCUAAAGAGUCGGAAGGUGAGAAAGCUUUGUUUUGUUUGGUCAUUAUUUUUUUUGCAUAUGUUUAACUUCUUUGCUUUGCACCAAGUUGAUCGUGCCUAUUUCUGGUCAUACAUGCAUGUUUGGUAUUUUGUUUAAUCAUGUAUAUUGUUUUAGUUUGUCUUAUAGAACUUCUCUGCUUUAUCUCCUUGGUUCACCUUCUAGCUUUUGCAGAUAUUUUGGCUAUUGACUCUUAAUUUCAAUUCUUAGAUUUUUGUCACAAAUUUAUGUACUUGUGUUUAAAAUUUUCUAUUGCUAACUUGCAGGGUAUGAGUCAGCUAGAAUUGGAGGAUGAGGUUCAAGAUGAUUUAAAGCGGGCAACUGGAGAGUUUGUCAAGGAUGCAGAUGACGCAAAUAAGCUUAACCGCAUUCUUCAACUGACUGGAUUUAGUGACCCUGUAUAUGCUGAAGCAUAUGUCACUGUGCAUCACUAUGAUAUUGUUCUUGAUGUCACAGUUAUUAAUCGGACCAAGGAAACCCUUCAGAAUUUGUGCUUGGAGUUGGCAACUAUGGGUGAUCUGAAACUUGUUGAGCGUCCACAAAACUAUACCCUAGCUCCUGAAUCUAGCAAGCAAAUAAAGGCCAACAUCAAGGUGUCUUCAACUGAGACUGGAGUCAUAUUUGGCAACAUUGUUUAUGAGACUUCAAAUGUCCUUGAAAGAACUGUUGUUGUUCUUAAUGACAUCCACAUUGAUAUCAUGGACUAUAUUUCUCCUGCUGUUUGUACUGAUGCUGCUUUCAGAACUAUGUGGGCAGAAUUUGAGUGGGAAAACAAGGUAUCUCCUGAACUAUUUCUCAAUAUAAACAUCCCUGUUUCCUUUAAUUUGCAAGCACAAUAUUGAUGCUUUCAUUUGCGGUGAAUAUAAUGUAUAUAGAAUGCAAGUUUAAAUUAGCUCAAAUUUGUAAGUUGCUCACAUGCUUUUGCAUAGUGUUCGAUUACCCUUUAAUUUUAUUCCCCUUGUACUGCUAAUAGAGUUCACACUAUAUAUCUGUAAGCUUCUCAUGGGCUGAGCUAGCAUUUCUCAUCCCAAUUAAUGUUUGGUGUUUCAAUUUUAAUUUUCAUUAUCUGUUUUGUGUUUCAGGUUGCCGUUAACACUGUAAUUCAAGAUGAGAAGGAAUUCCUUGACCAUAUUAUCAAGUCAACCAACAUGAAGUGUCUCACUGCACCGUAAGUUUACCUUAUUCAGAAAUAUCUAGAUUUAAAAAUUAACCAAUCAGUUGUCGGUUUCUGCAUACCAUGCUGUAGGUUUCACCUUAUUAAGGUUGCGGCAUGAUAUGUGAUAAAUGUGUGAACUUAGUGUUGUGAAACAACUUAAUGAAUCUGUCAUGCUCAAUUUGUACAAUCACAACUUUAUAUUAUGUUGGUUUCCAUGUCUUUUUUUAUGGUUCUGUGACUCAAAAUAACCUUUAUUAGAAGGCUGUUGAACACAGUAAUAAAUCUCUUAUAUGAACUCCUUGUAGAUCAUCUGAAUUGUUAUUAAUCCAUUCUUUCUUGUUCUUGCUUUUCGCUGGCUGGUUUGUGUUUUAGAUCUGCGCUAGAUGGUGAGUGUGGAUUCCUGGCAGCUAACCUGUAUGCAAAGAGUGUGUUUGGGGAGGAUGCCUUGGUAAACGUGAGCAUUGAGAAACAAGCAGAUGGGAAGCUUAGCGGGUACAUCAGGAUAAGGAGCAAGACCCAGGGGAUUGCUCUUAGUCUUGGGGAUAAGAUCACUCUAAAACAAAAGGGAGGCAGUUAAUAUGUGCAUCAUCUGUUUUCACCGAUACUGGUAGUCAUUAUAACGUUUCGGCUUGUCAGUUACUGCCUCUAACCCCCAUUGAAAUGAAAGAUUUAGUAACCUUUGUUAUUCUGUUUAAAAAUGCAGGUACUUGGCUCACAAUACAAUCGAUGGCUGCCUUCAUUUUUGUUGGGUUCUCUGUAUCUAGGGGUAGUAGCGGGUAUCAAGAGUUGAGAUUGUUGUAUUUGGAGUCACAUAUUUCCAACAGUAGAAGGGUCAUUGAACAUUGGUUAAAAUACUGCUUUUUUGGCGAUGUUAAAACAGGAUGUGCUUUUUGUGCUGCUGAUUCUUUAAAAUAGUAUUGAAGUCAGAGCUCUAUUUCAGUACCACUUGCUCCGUAAUAAAUCAUCCCAAUUCUUUGGUUGCUAUUCUGGUUCGCUUUUCGCUUCCUGCUUUUGCUUUGUUUAUCUCUCUUCUGAUUGCGGCCCCGCCCCCAUGUUGUGCUUUGGAAAGGUAAUAUCAGCAAAUUUUCUCGCUCUCAGUGGUAUUCCUUGACAAAAGCUAGGCCCCGGGCUUCUCCUCUGUAUGGAAACCAGAAUGACUCGUUCUUGUUUCAUGAGAAAGUCACGAGUCUUUCCGAGUCUUUAAGCUCUACGCAGAUUGCAAGCAGAGCGAGUGUUAGCAUUGGGCCUUGGGAUCUCGCAGCAUCCUAAAUGGGCCUAAGCCAGAAAUCUUACAAGUUCUUCUCGUAAAAAGGACGUAGUUUAAUUAAACAUACUUGCGCAGUCGCUUCCGAGUUCUUGGCAAGUAGGCUUCAGUGCCAAAUAAAGGCAUGAAAACAGCAAAGCUUUGCUUCGAUGCUGAAAAUAUAAUAAAUUUCAACUCAUACAGGGAAUUUAGAUGUCGAAAGAAUCACGGUACACAACCUAUGAUCUUAUGCUCACCCUUUGAAUUACUAUUGGAUUAGAACAAUCAAAAUAAUCACUUACAAAGUUUCAACUUUUUGAAAAACACUGAUACUAUAGACUUGGGGUAGGGUUUUGUAGCCAGACAGGUUGGAAUGUUUUCAGGCUGUUCAAUCCAAAGUUUAUGAGCAAUACCACCGGCUGUCAGCUUUUCAGACAAGUUCAAUAUCUGGGUUUCUCCUUUCACCUCAAGGGUAACCUACAUGUUCCAGAAACAAGACUGUGGUCAGAACAUUUAGCUCAUGCUCAUUCCAGCCAGACAGACCAAUAAAAGACCAAAAUCAAGGAACAAUUAUAGGACCAUCACACAACUCCAGACAAAAGGGCAAAAAAUGACCAAUCAAAUUAACACCUCGUGACAUUCGUUAUCAAGCGAUAAUGAGAUACUGCCAAAUACUCAGGGGAUUACAAAGGGGAAAACUCGAAGACUAUUAACACGAUGAGUGAAAGAGAAAGGUUUAAUUGACAAUAGAAAUGGCAAUCAUUUCUUCUAAUGGCAAAUCUGUGUGCGGGCUCAUUUUAAGGUAAUGGUAAUCAACUAACUAGACAUUAAUUUUUCCUAGUAGAACAAAGUUUCACCUUUAAAACCUUUCAUUACUACAAACAUAGCAAGAUCUUUCAUUUACUACAACUUUAAAACUUUUGUCUUGCUUCCAACAUCCCUUGUUGGAUGGUUUUAUGGGACAAAUGGAUCAUGCUCUCUCAUCCGUUAUCUCUUCUGCUAUGAGAUUUAUAAGCCAAGAAGGACUAAUCCACUCAUUUUUGGGUGGCAAAGUCCCAAGCAAGGAGAGAUCUAAGCACAAUCUAGUAGGAGAAACAGAAUGGGAGUGUGACAAUGAGGCUGCCUCCAAUUUGCCACGACCAUACUUCAUACAAGAGUAAAGAAGACAGGUUGCAUCAGCUAACACAACCUCUUUGACCAAAAUGACAAAUUAAGGUUCUUCAUAUCAUUAUGAUGAAGCUGCAUUCUCAUCUGUUUUAUUAAUUUUCACUUAUUUCUAGCCUUCCACAGAUCAAUUUAUCAGGUAAAGCCAUCAACUUUAAUCUAUAAUAAAUCCAAUUUAUGGGAAGAACAAAAGUUUGCUUUACCUUAUGCAUAGAGUCAAUGGUUUCAGGGCUGCAGUACUGGAGAGUAUGUGGAUCGUCCUUGUGAGACCAAAUGGCACAGACGGAGGCGUGGCACCCCUGUGUUACCACGCUCCCCAAUGGCCACGACUCUAUCAGGUCUCUCCGGAGCACCACGUACUGCACCAGCAUGUCCUCUUGGUCGUUCUCCGCCCUCGCCGACUCGGUUUUGGUGGCGCCGGCGGGCUGGGAGCUUGGUUGACUCAUUGGGCUCGAAGACGAAAGCUUCCGAGUAGUGAGGCAGAUUGGAAGAUGGGGACGAACCCGAAUCUUAAAGCUUCUCGGGGACGGGGUGCUGAAGCAGCUGCCAAGGAUUGUGGUGAACCUACACAGUGAGGGAAGUGCGGCCAUCAUUGACACCUUAAACGCUGCGUCGCCUGCUUCGUUGCGGAUUUCCUUUCACAACUUUACUGGCUUUGGGCCGCAUUUGCACCUUGGGUUUAUGGACCUCUCCUUCUCCCUUCAAAUUCUUUUGGGUUGGACUGGACCUCCAGCCUUGAAACAGUUGCAUCUACAUGCUUAGAAAUACAGCAAGAUGCGCAUCAAAUCUCUACAAUGCAUGCAAGUUUGUAUCACAGCUUUGUUUGAAACAUUCAUGGGAGCCAAGUUUUCCAUUUUGGAAUAUUCUGAGUGGCCAAAAGGAGUUAUGUUUGAGUCUAUCUCUUCACAACCCAUGAAAGUGGCAGGCCGUGCACCUUAGCUUAAACCCCCAAACUGCCAAAUGCCAACGUGCCAAUAUCUCUUUUGUCUCUCUUUGGAUUCUUCUUUUUUCAUCCACCAAAACCAAAGCCCACCCCCCUUUGUAUCUCCCCACUUCACCACCAUCACCAUCACCAUCACCAUCACCAUCAGCCUUUUCACUAGCACCGAUCCAAGUUUAAGAACUCUUCCCUAACAGUCCAUUUUCAACAAUUGUAAAGUUAAGAAUACACAGUUUUUGCGUUCAUCACCACCACCAUUCACCCCCACUCCCGCCCCUUUUCACAUUUCUCUGAUAUCUGAUGUUGGGAUUGUGGGGAUUGACGCAUGGAGGCCACGUGCUUUGCAUCCUUUUGGUUGAAAUGUUUCUUUUCUCAAUUAUUUGUCAAGAUAAAGAUAAGAUUCCCAACAUCUUACAUUUAAUAUGUCAUCAUUUGAUGGUUGGCACGCAUUCUUCAACACAUUGUUUAUGAGAAAAGACAUUUACCAUUUUUAAAGGACAAAAAAAGAAGAAGCGAAAAAAGGAUAUGUUAAGAUGCCAUCUACAAAUUGAAAUAAGAUACUGCUAACUCCAUUAUUAUACUAUAUCCACUUGGACAAUAAAAAAAUGGUGUAACCCCAGAUCUCCUAUCUGUCACCAGACAACUUAAAUGUCAAUAUUGUCCCCAUUCGACAACCUAGGUGUUCUAAGAACAAAAGGACAGGUUAGUCUUUAUGCAAGAAAAAGAAAAUCUAAGAAUUUACAACACAUAUCAUUCAUACAUACAUACAUGAACAUGAUCCAUCAUCUCUAUCCAUAACUAUGUCUACCCCAUCUCGUGUCUACUAUAACAAAAAUGAGGAGGAUGAUUUCAUGUUGUAAACAUAUUUAUUUUUAUAUAUACUUGUACUUGCUAAAAAUUUUGUUUUUCUUCUGAGUAAAUAGAGAAGAAAAGGCAGGACAAGUAAAAAAUAAAAAUAAAAACCAAAAAAAGGGGGGUCUAAUCUAAAUCCUAAAGCAUUUUUCAUGCCGAAAGCAAAGGGCGUCAUUGAUGUUCUACUUGCAGAUCUGUUAGAGAGAAACAACUCUGCGACUUAAAAGUGGCCUUCAGCUUGCUUUGCUGCAAUUUUGGUUUUUGUGCGGCUACUGAUAGUUUAUCAUUUGAUGAUGAUGAUGAUGAUGAUGAUGAUAUUGAUGGCGUUUCUUUAUCCUCUCCAUCUUCUUCAUCGUCUUCAUUCAAAGCAAGGAGGGGCAUGGAGUUGGGGUUCCGCCAAGAGUAGAAAGAUGACUUCCUGGACCACUUGUUUGCAAGUAACACCCUCCUCCUUUUGUUGAAAGGAUUCUCUGGCUUCUGCAGAUCUUCCACUGAGCUUAUAUCUGAGAGAUUAGCAAAUGACUUUGAUUUCCCUGCAUAAUGAUUCGACAAUCCCCUCCUGCAAAUUCAAUGAAAACAAACCCUUUUGAUUCCUUGUAAUCAAGAACAAAAUACCACAAAGCAGUUCAAAUUUCAGUUGAUGGAUAUUCCCUUCAGAGUGCUGGUUCUAUGAUUAAAAUCAGAUAGAGAUUCAUACUGUCCCUUAUUUUUUUUUCUAACUACAACCACAAGAGAAUCAAAAUAGAGAAUAAUAGACAGGUAGAAAUUCAACACCAUAAUACCAACAAACAGAAAAAUCAACGAGACCCCAGAAAAGUAGUGGUUUCAAGUGAUAAAAUUAACACAGAAACUGGAGAGGAGACCUGAUUGAGGGAGCCAGAGCUUAAGAAAUGAAAAAAAAAAAAAGGAAAAAGAUACUAACUUGAUGGGAAGAGAGUCCUCUAUAGAAACCAAAGAAGCCAACCCACCACUUCCCCCAGAUGAAACGACGCCCUCUUCCUCUUCAUCAUCGCUGUGUCCCGGAGCUCCGAUCGAAGACGAACUCUCCGAAGAUAGCUCCGGCGACCCGAGAUCCGACCCUGUUCCCUCCCCGGUGGGAUCGGCGCCACCAGCAUCGUGCUCCUUGAUAAACAAGCAAGCGGCGGCGGAGGAGGAGGAGGAGGAGGAGGAGGAGGAAAUCUUCUCCUGAGGACGGUCUCUAACGUAUGUGGCGGACGCAGCAACCUCGAUGCCGAACGUGGAACCCACCAGAACCUCCAUAGUUUUUUCUCCUUCAAGAUACCAGCACGAAACUCGGCUCGCAAAAUUCAACAAAGUUUCAACCUGCUCCUCUGGGUCUUCGUCUUCGCCUUCUCCUUACCUUCCGGAUGGGGUUCACUGUCAUCAAUCGGAAGCUUAAGGCUUGGAACAGUAUGCUAAACUAUCCGGCCAGCUGAGAGAGACAGAGAAAAAAAGAUGCGCAGGACAAGAGGAUGAGAGGGUGCGUACGUUAAGGAUUUUUAAGACAAGCACCAAAGAUACCAAGGGGACCAACAGCAACAAGGCUAUCCAUGUCUCCCCAUUAUAUUUCACUUCUUAAAGAGAGAGAAGAAAUGAAAAAGCUUUUUAGCUGUGGAGAGAGAAUGUUAGAAGCAAAAGGAGAAAAGAACAGAACACGAUAAGAGAUGGAUUAGAUAGAUUGUAGAUAAAUAUAAAACAAUAUUUAAAAAAUUAUGGGUUUUUUAUGUAUUUUAAUAGUAUUUAAUACGUAUUCGUAUUUUCGUAUGUUUAUACAGAAUCGACGGGAAAGGAAAGAAGGGAAAGUUUGUAACGUUGAUUGAAUAGAACGCGGUUUGACACGUUCGCAAUGACGUGGCAACGACGAAGACCAGAAAAAAAUCCCUAAAAAACACGUUUUUUAUUCUGUACGGUCUUAAAUCCCUAAGCCAUAUCUGUUCUUCAUUCAAUCACUCCACUUUCCGUAUCUCUAAUCUCCAGUCUCUAAUCUCUAUCCACAUAAAUACCAGUCCAUAUUGAUUAGUAGACCGAAUAUUCCAUGCAUUUGAUUGUUUCGAUUUUAAACUUAACAAUAAUUAAAUCGAUUUAAUUAUAUUUUAAAAUUAAAAUAAUCUAAACAAAAUUAUAUUCCAUCUGUUAAUUUUUAUAAAAAACAAUCAAAUCGAUUGAAUUAUACUUUAAAAUAAAAAUAAUCAUAAUUAAUUUACAUUCAUUUAUUGAUUUUUAUCAAAUAAUAAUCAAAUCGACUGAAUUAUAUUACUAAUAAAUUUUACAAACAAAGAUUUAAAUAUUCUAUUUAAACGCAUACUUAUUAUAUAAUUAUUAAGCUUUAUAUUUAAAAACUUAUUUAUUAGAUAAAAAGAGAAGAAGGAAAUUUAUUUCCAGUAAUAUCCUUUUCAUGGCACGUUUUACUUUCAUUCACCAGGGAGUUCGUAAAAGGAAUUAACUCCAAAAGGAUAAUGACAAUGAGAUGUUACCAUGAAUUGAAUGUGCAUUCAUUUCAUUAUCCAUCUAUACAAUUUCUAGUAUUUUUAGCCUAAUUAUAACAGUCAUAUGAAUUAUAAAUUACAUCUGUAAAGUUAACCUACAAUACGAUUACGAUGUUAUUAUUAUAAUUAGAAAAACUAUACAAUUUAACAUUUUUUUAAUUUGCCUAUUUAAACUUUGUUGGAGAUCUAACUGUACAAUGUAUAAUCUAUGUCGAUUUUUGAUUAAAAAUAACAUAUUGUUGUUGUUAGAAGUGCAUACAGUAUGAAAACAACUCACAUGUCUCAGUAUUUAUUUUAUAAAUACAAUCAAACUUAUCACCUUAACCCUAAGAAAUCUUAGUAAAAAGAAAAUUAUUGUAAGGAUAGAAUCUGUUGACAAUUUACAUGGUGGAAGCUUGGAAAUUGAAGAGGUUGACUUCAAAUUCUUCCAGCUUGAAUACUGGGGUGGUGCAAAUCGAAACUCGUGGCACAGAUGAGUUCAAUAGAUAGGGUAGAUUAAGCUAUUGAAACUGAAUUAUUGAUGAUAAUCAGAUCAUUAGUUUAAUUAAUCAAAAACUUUAUCGGAUUAAGAUUCGAAUGGAUCCAAGGAUUUGACUAUUGGACUAGUUCAGCAAGGAAGAUUAUAGUAUUCAUUGAGUUAGUCGGUAAUGAGUAUUCAUUUUUUUAAGAGAUUUUUUUGACGUGAGAUUCACGGCAAUUAAAAAUGGUAAUUACAAUUUGCAAAGAGAAAGAAAGAAAGAAAGGGGAGUGGAUUUGUUUUUGUAAAUGAAGGGCCCAGAGAUGAGCAUGAGCACCACUUUGACAAGAAACAAGAAAUGCCACUGAGAGUGGUAAUUUAUGCACGGUGGACUUUUCCUUAUUGGCGGACAGAUAUUCUGAGCCUAGGUUUGAUAAAUUAAUUAUAUAAUUAUUAUUUUUUUUAAAAAAAUAAGUAUUAAUAACAUUAAAUGAAGGGAGGGUAAUUGGAGGAAAUUAGGUCAAUUUUGAGGAGUGACCAAUGGAUGUCAUCUUGCCUUUAGGCUUAGCCAUUCACCAAACCUAGCUUUAUCUCUUUGGAUCAUACUAUAUUUAUAUAUACUAAGCCCAGGCUUUGAUGGUAGGAAAUCCAUUAUUCAGUGUCGAGCAUCUUUAAAAUGGGGACAGCCAACUAACUACACCCAUACAUUUGUCUUUACCUUCUUAAUUUAAUCCAGAGUUUUUUUUCUUGGUUUUAAAUUUGAACUUAAUUAAGCUACUUCGUACAAUGGUAUUUACUUAUACUUUAUGGGAAGGACUUUUUCUUGGUUUAUGCCACGUGGUUAAAUCUGUUAAAUCGUCAAACACAUCAAUUAUCACGUGAUUACGUCUCUUAAUUAAAUUAUUAUGUGAGUAUGAAAUACCUAUUGAUAAUGGAUUUGAUGAUAAUUAAUUUUUCGUUAAAAUUAAGAUCAUUACAAAAAUUUAAUCAUUUCAAUUAUGUUUUAAUAAAAGUAAAUAUGUUUAAAUAGACCCGAGAGAUUAAGAAGCUUAAAAUUUUAAACCAAAAGACACCAGUAAAAGAUAAAAUGGGCCGAUAAAUUUUACUUCUCAAUUUCAGACAAAGCUUACAGCUUGGAACAUGAUCACCAAAAAAUAAGAUGAGAUUUAUUGUACGAAUUACAUAAAUGAAAUCUAAAAAGAAAAGUUGCAUAGCAACAACAUUAGUACUAUUAAGUUAUGAGUUUGUUUUCACCCUACCCACCAAACAUUGCGUUUUUAGGAAAAAUGAGCAGGAGGAGGGAUACAUUGAAACGAUAAUUGAAUAGAAAAUGAAAGAGAAAUGUAAUUUUGGACACAAGUGCAUCUUUUGGGCCAUGUUCUUUGCAAUCCGAAAUGGGUUUGAAGUCAAGUUUUUCGGCUAUGAUUAUGAACAAUGGUGACGUUUCCUGGCAAAGAGGCUGAAGAUGCUACAAGGAGGUAACCUAAAAGGAGUUGAUUGGUCUAAAUUCAUACAAGUUCAAAGCAUUUAUCUUAUCUUGGUUUGACAAAUUGACUCGUUUUGAACCCGACGUGCACGGAUUGAUAAUGAGAAAUUUGCUUCCAAGUCGUAAAACACAUUCUUGUUGGCAAUGAGGUGAGCAUUUCUGCCAUCCUUUCGCACAGCAGAAAUAGAGACGGCUUGGUGGGUUUGUUUUUUCCUACCCAAAGCGUCAAAUGGUAAGCUUUUCAAUCAUGCAAUGUGUCAUUUGGCAGAAGAAUGUAGCACAAGUAAUCCCAAAUUACUCCCUAGUCUUUCCUUGCCAAGUUCCAACAGCAGGCAGGCCCGCCUGGAAACAUCAAUCUUCUUCCGCCAUAGCAAGUUCGAAUUUGAUGCCGCAAUGCAAAAGGAAUGCAUAUCCCCUGUGAAAGCAAGCCUUUGUUGUUGAUUUUGACAUCAGAAUUCUGUAACUCCUGUAUAGAUAAUCAUCGUCCUGAAGAGCAUCUCUACAUCUAAUUCAUUCAUUGAUACAUUAUUCCCUAUCUAAAAAUAAAAUCCGAAUCUCUUUUCUUUAAUUAUAAAAAAAUAAAAAAUCAUCAUCCUAAGGAAUAAAGGACGCCCACCAUCCCCAGGAUAAGAUUUAGAUUUCCCGAUAAUUUUCACAUUUGCUUGUACAGAACAAGUCGCAUCACAGCCGCCCAACAGGAUAAAAAUCUAGGCUUCUGCUCGAAAAGUCACCCCUGUGGAUUUAGAAUCUCGUCAUGGUACCACGCAUCCAAGCUAUGUUGACUUUGAAGUUCUAAUUCCUAAACAAUGAUUUGCUGGAAACAGAUUUUAUACCUAACGUAUCAGCAUUCUUUGACAAUCAUGGAAAAUCUUUCUUAAUCCUUCGAAUGGAAGAUGUUUGCCCAACGGCAGACUGCUUCUUGCUGAUAAGGUCUGCGUUCUGACCAACUCUAAUACAGAGUUUUCAAUUCCUACUGCCCUGCUUCCAGAAGGUUGAACCGAACAUUUAAUCCAACACUUGAUUUCAUGGAAAUAUGAUACAUCCUGAAAGUUAGCCGUACAUCCAAUGGAUCUCUCCUAUAAGACUUGUUUGAUUCUCAUGGUUCUAACUAUACAUGGCUAGUCCGAAAGCUCCAGUAUGCUUGAACAAAAAAGAGAAAAGGAGAUGGAGAAACAUAUUUGAAGAACAAAUGACUAUUUUAAUCUUGGAGAAACUAGAAUUACAGAAUCCGCCAACAGAGUUUUAGCAGAUUCUUGGCUAUAAUACACCAGUAUGCUCUAGAGAACAGGUCCAGCCAUCCAACAACACAAGUAAUAAUCAUCGCAUUAGUCAAUUCUUUUAGGGAAAUUGAUGACUACAUAAUUUAAUCAUAGCUAGACCUCUAGUUUCACUUUAUGUCAAAAAAUUGUACAUGAAAUCUAGCAAAUUACAAGCUUUAAUGCCAACUAGCUAGUAACUGAAUCAAUGAGUGAAUAUGAAAGUAAAAGGAAAAGCUAUACUUGAAAGUAUUAUUAUUAUCUACGAACCCAACAUACUCCAUUUUUAUGUCUGGCACCCUCCAUUUGCCUUGCAGAACCAUCCAGGCAGUGGACAGAGCAAAACUGUUUCUCAUCUAUUCUGGCAACUCCUAAAACUUGAUCCUCGAGUAAUGAAAUAACAAUGUCUAGAGGAACUGCUGUCUUCAACAGCAAAGGAUGAAAUAUGAUAGGGAAUAGUUCCACACCCCUCAGAACACCCUAUGUACAAGAUAAUAGAUUAACCCUCUAAAACACAGGGAAUAUGUUGACUGGACAAUCACACAACUGCAGAUGCAGUACGGCGUAGAUCUACCCCAUUAUCCAAUUUGCCGCUGGUUGGCCUGCCUUUAAAACUACCAUACCUUUCCCGCCUUGGCAGAAAAAGAGAGAGGAGCAUUUGCUCCAAACCCUGCACUGUGUACUUUGCAUACUUACUGGAACUUGCAUCUUGCUCUACCAAUGGCCCAUAAUUUUGCAUAUAGCUUCGAUAGACAGGUAGCACAGUCUGCACUAUUAGCUGGCAUGUCUUCUCCCUCAAAUCUCUUUCUGAGAUAACCCAACCAGACUGCCUCUUAUACAUCUCAUCAAAAGCUUCAUUGAAAGUCUUCAGCCUUUUCUUUACAAGAUCACGAGCAGUGGCACGGCCCCCUGAGAACAGAAUUAAACCUUCCCGGCUUAAAUGACCAGGAAGUUUCCCCCAGCUCUCCCUUAAGAAGACAGUGGAAUAAUACUCCUUGUACUGUUCAUGUUCUUUCAACCAAGAAUCUCCCAUGAGCUCUCCAAGUCCCGUCCCCUUUAAGUGUUUGUACAGAUGCCAGUGGUUGUUCAUUGCAAAAAGAUAGGACAGGGUAGCAUCAUCAUACGCUUUCACCCAUGUCUCCAAAUUCAAAUCAAUGGCCUUAACUAUUUUCAAAACCUCACUGACAAGAAUCCUCUCUUGGAAUUUUUCAUGCUUCCAACUUCGGUGAAUGACCAGAACUUGGGUCAGGAUAGGCUUAUAACCAUCACCAAGAAGUUUAUUACAGUAAUCAGUUAUAAAACUCACCAAUCUUGGAACGCUCCCAUCCUGAGGGGGCGGGCUCUGCCUUUGUAAUUCCACCUGUACAAAAAGUUCCCAGAAAAUUUCAGCUGCACCAUCAAUCACCCUCCUGAUGAGAUCUCUUGUCAGGUUUUGGAUCUCAAUACAUGCUGCUCCGCCGAAAAGCCGGUUGAAAUCCAAUCUCAAUUUGUUUAGAGAAGCAAAUAUAUCCAAUAACUUCAGCAGCUUAAUAGGAUCUUUCUUACUUUCUGUAACAGUCUUCCCAAACUGAAGAAAAGCAAGAAUACCAGCUUGAGCAGCUAUUUUAGCAAAGCAUCCCAUCCAAACAUCCAGACCAAUCCUCUCAAAAACAUCAUUACAAAGUUGGAACUCUGCCUCAAACAAAUGCUUUACUGCAAACUCCAAAUGUUUUCCCCACUGUCCUAUAUACCCAUCUAUGCUCUGCACAUCAUUAAAUUCUGAGACCGAGAUCUCAAGAUAAUCCAAAUCAAGUGCCUGCAAACUAGCUCUGACAUUUGAGCUACGAACUUCAACAUAAAUUGUAAUGCACUUCUCAAGUCUAUUAUUAGCAAUCAGCCUACCAAGAAUUGCUUGCAACUUCUGAAUAACAGUCACAGGUAAUGGGGACGGUGCAAUGCAUGCUUGUUCGCCUAGCGAUGGAGAUGACAUUGGAAGUGGCACACUAUGCUCCGUCAAUAGUCGUCUAAACUCACUUUCCAAUUUAUCUAAUGCAGCAUCUAAAAGCCCACCAUCAAUAUGUAUUUUUUCCCCAUCCUUUUGCAACUCCCUUAGACCCUUGAGUGACUUCUUCAGAUUUGAAAGAUACAGCCCAUCAGCAACUCUGUUAUCCUCCAAAUACUCAACUAUAUCUUCCAACCAUUGAAUCGCCAAGCCGCAAUUAUCACCCAGAAACCUUAAUGCCUCUUCAAGGCGUUUCAACACCGAUAAAUACCCAGGCAGAUCAUUCCUGGGAUCUGACAGUAAGGACUUUUCAAGUCCAUGAACGGCAUCAAAAACCUUAAGCACAGCUGCAGCAGGGCCCACGGCUCGGUUAAUGUGACCACCAACAGCAGCAAGAGCAUCUUUGUCGGCACGAAUUGGGCGGACAGCAGCUUCUAAGGAAGGCAAUCUUUGUUUGAUCUCCUCUAAUCUAGGUCCAGCCUUUUCAAGAGCCAAUCCUAGGGUUUUCGAUUUCUCUAAGCUAAGCUUUAGUGACUUCUUUGCAGCUAUCAAAUUAUCAAUACAAUUAUUGUUCUUGCAAUCAUUAUCAUUUGCUGAUGGUUCCAUCUUAAACCCCGAAGAAAAAAAUCCUACUGAAUCCAAGCUUGGAAAACUAUGAAUACGAGUGAACUGAGACUACAAAUUUUUAAGAUCUACAAGCAGAGCCAAAAAACAAAGGGGCUUUUUCCUUGUCUACUUUCAACGAGUGAUCUUAUCAAUUUCCCUCGGAAUCAUCGAAGGAAAAAUAGAAAACGAAAUUAACCUGGACUCAUGUAAGAACAAUCCCUCAUUCUUUUUUUUUUUUCUAUUAUUCUUCACCAAACUCUCACCAAAUUAAAAUAAAAAAAAAAAAAAGAGGAGGGAGCAGAGAGAAAACGAGAAAAUAACUCACUCGGAAAUAGAGAAGAAUGGUAGUUGGUUGAGGGACCUGAGUUGACACGACCAGUUGAGCUUAGCUGAGCUGGAAGGAGAGAGUUGGAGUGGAAUCUGGAUCGGUGUGUGUUGGAUUCAAAGAGAGAGAGAAACCCUAAAGAGGGAAUAAAUCUAAAGAAAAAAAAACCAACGUAAAAAACUGUGAGAAAGAAGAAAAAAAAAACGAAAACUUUACACCUCGUUUUGCCUUGUCCGACGAGUCCUGCCAAAGUGCCUGACAGUAAGGCACCCGCUUCUCUCUCUCUCUCUCUGUCUUUCCAAAGUAUGCUUCGCUCCUUAUUACUAUUUUACUAUUUUUUACAUUAUUAUAAAGAAAUCUUUAUUUAAUAUCAUUUUGUUUUUCAUACGUUUGAUCUGUCGAUGGUACGAUUGAUAUUUUCUUAGUUUGGAAGCAUGUUUGUUUUAAUUUCAGUAAAAAUCAAAAUUAAUUAAUAUUUAAGAACGGGAAUAUAUAAUUGUUUUGAUAAAUAAAAAGAAAGAAAAAUAAUAAUAUUUUUGAGUAAAGGGUAUAAAUGGAUAGGUUCUAGUAUUUUCUUUGUUUUUACUGCUAAGCUUACUUUAUAUAUUUAUUACAACUAAGCUUAACAAUUUAUGUUUUCGUAUUUCAAACGUGUUAGACACGAUUAGAUACAAAACACGUUAAAAUUAAAUACGAUAUAAAUAAUAUUCAUAUCUUAAAUCUAAAAUAAGUACAUGUAUACGUUUAAUAAUCGUAUAACAAUAUGCAACAUGAUUAACACGUUUAUUAAAUGUGUCAAUAUACAACACAAUACGAUUAAUAAUACGAUUGACACGUUUAACAAUAUUAAAAUAAAAAUAUUUAUAAUUAAAUAUAAUUUUAUUACUUAAAUUUAAAAUCAAUAAUUAUAAAAAAAAAUUAUAGCAAAACAAAAUAAUAAUAACAUCAAAUAUAUUAAAAUUUAACAUAAAUAACAAACAUAAAAUUCAUUAUCAAGUAAUAUUAUGAAAUCCAUCAUUAACAUCUAACCUUAAAAUACUAAUAUCAUCUAAAAUUAUCCAUAAUUAAAUAUAUAUCAUUAAUCACAUCAUCAACCAUAAAUAAUUUCAAGCACGAAAAUCAAAAUUAUUUAAGUAAAGCUAAAAUAGUCUUUGAUUAUUAAUUUUUAACAGAUUGAUAAAUGUGUUAUAUAUAUAAAUUUAAACACGAUCAUAUAAUUAAUUAAAUAUAUUUUAAAUAUAUUAUUCGUGUUUGAUACAUUAAGAUAGGAAAAUUUUUAUGUACUAAAUAUAUCAAACAUAAUUAGAUACAAAACAUAUUAAAAUUAAAUAUAAAUCUCUUUAACUUCGUAUAUUAACAUAUCGUGUGUAAAAUUAUCAAGUUUAUAAAUUGCCGUAAAAAGUAGCUGUCUUCGAAAAAGUUAUGAUGUCUAAUUAAAUAUAUAUAUAUGGUUUAAACAUAGCCCGCGUCUGGCCUUUGACCGAAAAAUAAUUCAGUCCAACAAGCUUUGUGGACUUUCUAACUUGAUGGGCCUGCGGCUGAGGCUGAGGCUGCCUUAUUUGAAUAUAAGUAGUGCCAGAAGUUUUACAAUUAUUGUUAAGCAUAUUAAGGUACAAUUUGUCACUGUAAGGCACAGAAUACUUAUUUUCGGUCAAUGGCAGGACUUGGGCAGAAAAGCUUGAGAGUCAAGACCCACACUUUCCUCGCUAGUCUGCCUGGUUUCAUCCAACACAAUAAUGGCUCCAAUAGCUGAAAAAGUAAGCUAAAAAAGGCCAGCUUUCUUGCAUUAUUCACCCGCAUCAAUUGACCAAUCAAAAAUCAAAAUUAUGUUCGUAUCAAUGUACCGUACUGAAUUGAUAAUUAUAUUAAUGUGCAUUCUAUUAAAAAUAGGUUUAGAAAACCAUUCCAUAGCCCAAAAAAGCAUGCAAUUUGAGCAUCACCAAGGUGUUAUGAUUUGUCAAAUUAUUAAUCAGCCAUGUUAGUUUCCAAUGGACCACCCUCGUUUUCACCCUUUAUCAUCAUGUCCUUUCACCAUUAAAGCAGCAGCUGAAUUUGACCUAUAUCUUACGACCCCACCACCUCAACGACUGAACCCCCAUCUCAUUGACUCGGCACAGAAACAAGAAACAAAACAAUUUAAUUAAAUUUUAAUUUUACUUUAAGCACCGAUUGGCACAAUCUCAACUAAUCUACCAUUUUUUUUUUGUUUUCCAUUCGGAAAAAUACAAAAACAAAUUUACAUUCAAAGCCCCCCCCUCAACUACUACUCCAAAUAUUACAAAAGUCUACGUCCUUCUCUUCCUUAAUACCUUUUUUUCUUUUCUCUCUCUUUAGUUUGUUUAUCACGUUGACUCGAAGACCAGUCCCACCCCAGGAGCCACGUUGUCCUGCAUCGCGGGUUGAGAGUGGCGGUGCUCCCCUUCGUAAGUUACGAUCAACAUAGCCGGAUCAUCCGGGGCUCGCUCCACGUGUUUCCUCGCUGGGCAUCCUCUGAUGGUACUGCACUUGUAAUAUCCCCUGAAACAGUCGAACAAAAAAUUUCUCAUCUUAAAAACGGAUCCUAGAUAUCAUGUAUCAUCUUUAAUUUGGACUUAGGUAAUGAAGGACUAUGGUAGUUACCGUGGGUACGGUGAGCCCUUGAUCGGCUUUUGCCCGUACUUCCUCCAGGAAAAUUCGUCCGGUGGAAUAUCGGCGAUCUUCGAACUGAUCGCUGGAACUCUGAUAACUUUUUUCACACGAUUCUUCCUGAAACAUUAAGAACAAAUACAAGAGUUGAGCAAAAUAAUGUCUGUCAUGCGCAGCAAGCGCUAUCGUGAGCCGUGUGCGUACGGCAUCGAAUUUCUUUCUUGUCCUAAAGGGUCAAAGGUUCAACCCGGAAGAAAAGUCUCAAAAGCACCUAAUAAGACAAAACUCUGGUGAUACCCCAGUUUAGCCUUGUCAUUAUCACGCGUGCUAUCUGGCGUUUAACCUUUAAUCCCUUAACUGUUCAACGACCCCUUACGUUGACCUACACCUUGCCAGAAUCGAGACGAGUCCAGCUAAACUCGGACGUUUUAAUCCUGACUCGGGGCGGUUUUCAAUAGAACUCGACCUAAGUUUUCUGAGCUAACUCACACAGUCAAGCUAAACUUAUUUAAUUUUUUUAAAAAGCACUUCGUUAUGGCAUCUAAUGAAGUCAGGCACACAACGUUAGUCAAAAGCUAAAGCUGUGACCGCUACAAUAUGCCGUAAAUUAAGAACAGUAGGAAAAAAUCGUACUACCUUCGCUUUGAGCAAUGGCACUUGCCGUUGCCGGACCCGGAGAACUUGCCGGAUAAGUCCUCGGAGUGGUCGUGUUCGUGGCACCUCUUCUUGUACGGAGCCGAGGAGAGCGGUGGUUUUCCCGCGGAAACGGUCGGUGCCGGCGCCAAGAAUAGAGAGGAUCCUUGCUUCCCGUUGGAAACGCUGCCGUCUCCGGUGAUGGCAGAAGACAUAAACGAAGAGUUCGACGAAACGCUGAAGCUUUCUUUUGUGAACUCCAACUCAGUGCUUUUAGUGUUGGAGCUGAACAAACUAGGUUUUGUAAAGUCGAGCGUCAAACUGUGUGUCUGCGAUUGGACGAAACUAGCGGGAGUGAUCACCGGAGCAGCGACUGGCGCCGGAUUUAUAGUCGCUGAGGUAGCAGCCGGAGCCGGAGUUAGAGCCCGAGUCUUGUGGGAAUUAGGAACAUAUAGAGCAGCAGAGGAUGAUGAUGGGGAAGACGAGGAAGAUGAGGACUGAAUCGGUCCUCGUCUGAACCGGGCGUGACCGGUCCUGUUGAGAAGCGAGAUGACCUUCUUGAACUUAGAGACGGUGAUGUCGGCCAGGUCCGUGCAGUCGACUUGGUUUGACUGGUGAGAAAGGAGGCAGAUCAGGUGCUCCAUGCUCUUCAAGCCUUGCGAUGCAGCCUCUUGUAUGGCCUUCUGAUCAUCCAUCUUCGGAAAACUGAUCAGAUCCACCGCCAUUUUCACAAAACAACGACGAAAUGAAAGAAACACGGAAAAGAAACGUGCAGGAAAGACACCCUAAAAGCUCAACAAGUCAUUGAAAGCCCAGAGGAGGUGGAGGAGCGAUGAGGAUGAAGGGGGAAGGAGGCAAGUGGGUGGUGGGAGGGCAACGGGGGGUAAUAUAAGGGUGAAAUGGUGACCGGGUGACCGGGUAAGAGUCAAAGUGGGGAGUUUCGGUCCAACGGCUGAGAUUUGUUUGAAGAUUUCCGCGGAAGGUGGUUGAAUAAAUAAAUGGGGGUCUUGUCUCUCCAAAUGCUGGGUGGUGGGCCCCUACGCGGGAGAGAAUAUGAGGUAAGAUUUGGUUUUGGUCCAAAAGAAGUGAUUAAGGGGUUUUGAAUUUUGAACAAAAAACCAACUCAUCAACAACGUUGACGAGACUGCAACAAAACGACUGUCUCUCUGUAACAAAAGUAAAAGAAACGACACUGUGGUUAGAAGCUAUGUUUAAUUUUUUUUUCAAGGAAUCUCUUUUAUUAGCAAGUCAAAUUUACUUUUCAAAUCAAAUUUGCUACUUGCCGUAUUUGACUUUUAUUCUAAAGUAAAAAGAAACUUAAAUUUAUUCAUUUAAACGCAUCCAAUUGAAAAAUGUUACACGAUGAAAAUUAUUUUGGUCAUAGUUAUUAACAUUAGAUUAAAAAUUUAUAUUUUUUGAAUUGGAAUUUCAAUUGGGUUUAGUCAAAUAUCAAAAUCUUCAUUAAGCAGACAUAAUUUCGGUAAUUUAGUUGAAUGGGUAAAUGUUUACUUAGAAACAUUAGCAUUGUGAAGGUUUUCAAAAUUUAUGUUGACUGAAACGCAAAAUGUCUUUCUUCUAGAAUCUUUAAUUCCCAAUAAAGAUUGCAUUGACACACUUGAACUUCCAAUUGAACGAUAAAAUAAAAGAGAGAAAAAUUAGUGUAUUAAUAACUUCAAUUACUAUGACUUCUGUCCAACAAAAGGUACCUUUUGUUAAAGAUUUUAUAUCAAAAAUUAAAACAGUAAGGACAGUUAAUAGUUGUAACAUUACUUGAUCAUUGAGAAAUAAGCACGGUACUAAGUGUUAAUUUUAAAAUAUUUAAACUUGCAUUUGUUUAAAAUUUAUAUUUGAAUAUAAUUAAAAUUUAAAACUUGAUUAUUAUUUGUAACAAGUUGAACACGAAUUUACAUUCAAAAUAUAAAAUAAAAGUAUCGAAUUCAAGUAAUCAACAGCUUAUAACCAUUACCCCAAACUCAUUUCGAAUAAUAAAAUAAUGUAAGAUAGCGAAUUAUAAACUAAUCCAUAGUAUCCUUCCCUUGAAAGGGAAAUUACGUACAAAACGACAGGGAAACAGUAAAAAUUUUGAACGAAAGCUGACUGAAAGUGGGGAUCACGUGGAGGCAUUGUCCCUUUUUUAAUCUGAAAUUGUUGACCAACUUUUCUUUGUCCAUGUAAACCGGGUGAUGCCGGUUAACCCUGGCGCAGACCGUUCGAUUACCCCCCAGCUAAUCCAACGGUUAUUUAGCUCAUGAAGGAGUUGACUAAGCCUUUAAUUAAUUCUUUCGAGAACCUCGAAGUGCUAGUGCUAAUGAGUUAUGCCACGUGGCCGUAAUUUAAUGAGUCAUGAAAAUUAGCUGGUGCCAAUUGAAAGAAGUGGAAGAUGAUAGAAAGAGUUGAGUAUCCAGUACUUAAAAUUAAAAUUUUAAUUAUUUAUGUUUCAAUCAAAUCUCAUUAAAAACUAAUAUUCGUAAAAGUUUAUAAUUGAGUUCGAUAACAGAUACCUUCCGAUCAUUAUUUAAGCCCAUGAAUAAUAAUUUCAUAAUUUAAAUUUUAUUCAAAUAUAAUUAUAAAAUAUUUUAAUUUUAUUUAAUAAGACAAUACAAAUUAUUAUCGAAUUUUAUUGAUAAUAAAAUCAUAGUUAGGCCGUGCAAAAGGGUUGUCUUCUUUUCCUCUAAAAUCAUUAUAAGGCAUCUUAAUAACUUUGAUUAACAGUGCCAACCAAUUAAAUCGAACAACUUGCCUAUGAAAUUUUGACUUUGCUUUCAAGCAUUUUUCUCUCUUGUCAAAGUCCACCAUUGUGGUAUUAAUAUUAACAUGAGGGUUGACCACAAACCAAGUGAUUAACUCAAUAGACCAUAUCGCCAUUCUUUUUCUGGAAUUUUGAACCUUGACAAAUUAAAAUUCCAAAAAUAAUAACGUUGACAUAUAAUUAACACAUGAAAAAAAUUACCAGUACUCCAAUGUUUUAAUAAAUUUUUUUAUUAAAUUAUUCAUUUAAUCACUUCAUUAUUUGAAAGUUUUCAUUUUAUUCAUUCAAAACUAUGACACACACGAUAAAUAUAUAACCACAUGACAAAUGAGCCUAUAUAAAUAUGAUUUGCAGUUAAAGUUUAUAGACGUGAAAAGUCAUAUUAGAUACAUUAAAUAUUUAUUUUUUAUUUUUUUUAAUGAUUAAACAAUCAAAAUAUUAAUUUUAAUGAAUUUUAAAAACCCAAACAUGGUUUUUAAAAAUUGAAUGAUCAAGAUAAAAAGUUAAAAAAAUGAUCAAUUGAGACAUUUACUCUACGUCUUCACAAUAUUUAUAGUUUUUUUUUUAAUAUUAUAUGAAUUAAAAGGUUUCAUUCAUUGGUACAUUAUUAUAAAAAAGAAAUAGUUUUUGUCCCAAUCAUGAAACAUAGCUGGUCACUUUAGAUUAAAUGACCAUAAGCAAUUAAAAAUUCUUUAUAAUUUUUAUACAUCGUCAACUCUAAUAUUCAACAUAACUUUCGAUUUACGUAAUUUUAAAUGCUUAGCACGUACUAUUUUUUGGAGUUAAUUAAAUUACUCUAAUUGACAACAAAUAUAUAAUAAACGUCUCUUGAUAUACAAUUUGAGGUGAUUCGUGUUAGGAUUUGAUUCUUCUUAAAUAUGUUAAGGUCAAUGGAAAAAAAGAGAUUCUCCAAUUCUUUUUCAUUGUUUGAAUUAUUCGUGAAGGUGGGUUGUUUUAUUGGUAAAAAAUUCGUAGCAUUUUGUCAACUUGUUCCAUUUUCAUCCCUAGAUAAAUGCGUGAGAUGUCAAUUUUUCGGUCGUUGUUUAUUCGUAAUUUGAAAAAUAAUAUAAAUAUCAAGUUUUUUUGUUAAACAAAAUUCUUAUUUGAACCCUUAUAAUUGCCUUAUUCAAUCUAGAUUGAAUUUAAAUAAUUUCAGUCAAAAGAUGAAAAAUCUGCAAAACCUAUAUUUUAAACUUUGAGAUUUGUAUAUCAAAAUUUAAUAUAAAAUAUAUCAAAAUAAAAUUUUUUAUUUCAAUUUUCGUAAAAACAAUUACCACCAUUAUAUAUAAAUCUCGAAAUACACAAGUCUACAUAGACCGGCGUUAACUAGGCUCGUGGUAAAAAAAAAAAAAAAGCACACCAACAAGAUUAAUCUUUCAUCCUCGAUUUUUUUGUUUAUUUCACCAUGUUAAAUUAAAUAAUAUACCACUUGUUAUCUCUUAGCUAAGAACCAAUUGCAUAUUAGUUUGACUUUAAUUAAAUAAUAGUAAUAUUCGAAAUAAAUUUAAAAAAAAAAAACUAUAGUUGGCGUCACUAAGCACCAUUCUAGAAGAUUUGGUUGAAGAUUUGAUUCCUUUAUGUGAAUCCGAACAACUUGGCCAAUCAAACAAACACCGGAUUUCAUUAAAUCUGUGAUGCUCUCCUCCUCUUUUAACAGAAGACCAAUCCAUUUGUUGUUAAGGUGGAGUAGUAAUUUUCUUUUAUUUUUUUAAUGAAGUCUUGACAAAUUUUAUAAUUUCUGUACUUCAAAGUCAACUCAAAACGAUUGACGAUGAAAGAGUCCACGAAGCAAACCCAAAUUCAUGAAUAACAAUUGCCAUCAUCCACACAUUCAUUGCACUCGUUAGAAUUUAGAUUUAUAUAUGUAUAAUUAAAUUUUUCUUUAAUUAAGAUGAUAUAAAUUCUCGAGUUUGAAUCUUAGAAGAACGAUAAUUUACAUGUAAACUUAUUAAUCAUUUAUCAUUUCUUAAUUACCGUUAUUAGCAUUGAUACAUUCAUUACAUUCGUUUAAACUUAAAUAUAAUAUUUAAAUUUUAUUUUUGUAGCUUAAUAUGUGUUUCUUCCCUUUUAAAUAAUUUUUUCAAGUGCCUAAUUACGACUAAACUACACAAUGCUUUGUUAAUCUUUCUUUUACACUUGGAUUCACGUGCCAAUCUAUUUUGCUUUCAACCUUUCUUCUAUUCAGUUUUUUUUUUUCUUGUUUAACUCGUUUUUAUAAUGCACGAGGUUUGAUUUCUGACUUUGACUUUCUGGGUAUUCACGUGCCGUGCACCAGGGCAAUAGGAUGCCAUGGGGGAAACUUUUAAUUGUGGCUGUGGAAUAAUAGUGGACUUUCGGGGAACCCCCUUUAAAGUUUUAGAUGCUUCCACUUUUAUAAUUCAGAGAACAUGUGUGGCAGGUUUUGAUUCCUUGUGUACAGUGCCAAACAAUUUCAAAUUUGAAAGUUACUUGGACGUUACAGUGUUAUCAUGUCACGGAUCAAGAGAGUUCGGCGCAAGCUUUAAUGUCAUAACCGACAUUAAAUUGUAAAGUAUUGUCUUUUUAAUUUAUUGAGAUUUAUAAUUUUAUUUCACAAGAAAAUAUUUCACAAGUUAAAAAUAAUGUGAACAUUUAAAUAUUUAAUUUAAUUUUAAUAUAUAAAUAAUGUAGAAUUCAUUUUAGAACUGUGACACAUAGGAUGUACUCUUCAAGCACUUAAUAUCAGUCUUAUUCACACCUCAAGAUUUGGGUGCGGGUUGGGACGACGAGAUCAUGGUGGUAUGAUAUUCCACUUGCCCAAAAGAUAGCCAUAAAAAUAUGAUAAAUUUUUCUUGCAUGUAAUAUAUGUGUUAAAUUCGAAGUGUUUGGGAAAGUCAAGUAGCAUGCUCGAUGAGAUUCUUAAUCCCCUAUAGUAUAAUAUAUAAUGUCGUUAUCUUUUUUUUUUUUAAAUAAUAUAAUGUCAGUACUUGAUUCUAAUAUUUAAAUGGGUUUUUGCUUUAGUGUCUUACACUGGAAGGAAUGGUAGCCUGCACACGAUCUUUGUUGCAAUGGAAAACCAACUUUGAGAUUGAGGGGAUGUUAGUCUGCACAUAUUUCCUUUUGGGAUCACAUGUGUACACAAAACACUUUAUUAUUGUUCCUUGAAAGGAAAGGAAACAGAUUAAUUACCAUUGUCGUUAGCAUCCAUCUUUAUAUUUUCUAUAAUUGCAUUCCAAAAAUAUCUAACAUUAAGCAAGGGUUAGUUAAAUUUGACAAUUUUAAAUGAUACGAAGUUAAACGAUUUUGGAUUUAAAGUUUUUGUGACGAUUUUGUAUCUUAAAUAGAUUAAACACAUUUAAUUUGUACAUGAUUCGUAUAAUUUGUUUAGUUAAUUGUGUUUUUGUGUCAAUUUAGAUAAUAUGACUUACAUAAUCUCUAUAUGAUACCUAUUUAAAUAGGUUAAUUUUUUUAAAAUAAAUUUAUUUUAUUGUAUAAAAUUUAAUUCGACUUGUUUAUUAAUGAUGACAAUCGUGUCAUAUAGUGUAACAAAUUUAUCCUUUUACGUGUUUAGAAUGUCGAUCUGUUUAAUUAAUUAUGUCAUUUUUAUGCUUAGUUAUAAAAUUAUUAAUAUCAUACUUAAAUACAACAUGAUUAUAACACGAUAAUAUGCAUUGUCGGGCCUAAGUAUAAUUUCGAGUUUGGACCUUUUAAAUUGCGAAAGAUUGGGCUUCCUAUCUAAUGGCUCGAUCACAAGCCCCCAAGGUUGCAGCCCCUUUUAUUUGUCUGUUAUGGGUCUUUAAAAAUUGGGAUGACAGCCGUUUAAGAGACGGACAUGGACCGUUAAUAACCCAAGUCUGAGACAAAAUUAUGGCAAAAGAUUGAGCGACAUUUUUCUUGAACCACAGACCCAUAUAAACAAAAGGGGCCUGUUGGCUACGGGCCCCUUUUUGCCGAUUUACCAUGUCGGCCUGGGUUUCAUUUCACGUUAGCAGCUGAUUGAAACAAACAAGGCAGCGAUGAAAAUUUGCGGAGUAGGACAUUUCACCUAUACGCAGGAUUGAGAAGUUUGCGUUAGAUCUAAGUGAAUAAACUACACGCCCACGACACGAAUACAAGCAACGGACAAUUUGCUCGGCCAAACUUUCUUCAGAAACAGAGCAAAUUUUGGCACCAAACAGCCUCAUUCACGGCGCCAGGUUCUCGACCAGAUCGCUGCAAUUCAAGGUAUUUGCUACUGCAAAUCUUUUCACCGUUGUUCAUCGUCAACCCUUUUGCCUUUUCUGUGAUUUUUAUUGAAUUGGGACUGGAAUCUUUGGGUUGUUUUCUUUUUUGAAUAUUGGGAUUGGGUCUUUUGAAAAAUGGUGGGAAAAGGAAAGGCAAAUUAAGUUAUUCAUCUUGUAUUUUUUUCCCCGUGAAAUUACAUAAGUUUGUUGAAAACAAAAUGACCCAGCAGCUAUUUGGUGGCCUUUAUGUUUAUUUAUUUGAUAAUAAUAAUCGUUUCUAGUUUAUUAAUUCGUGUUUGUUUGUUGCGGGGCGUGGUUAAGGGGGAGAUCCUGAUGGUAAUUGAGACUUGGCCUUGAUUUCUUAAGGGGUCAGAGUGGGGAGCAAAAACGGAGCGGAUCGGAUGGACAAGAACAAGAGCCGUACCGAUCUGCUCGCAGCUGGACGUAAAAAGGUUUCCAUUAUUUACUCUUUCAUCUCUGAUUUUGGCUGUUGGCCUUUUUUCCCAACAUACUCUGUUUGUCUGGUUAUGUUAUUUGUCUUCAACCAUGAUUUUUCUUUAAGGCCUGGAAUGCUCUAGUUCGUGCUUAUAGUUCACCAGCAUGUUUUAAGUGCUUUUGAAUUUGCCGUUGAUUCCUAAUGUUACUUCAACCCUUGUUUUAUUCUUUUGCUAAAGAAAAGAGUGGAAGAAAACCAAAAUCUUUGUCUUCGUUAUUCUGAACCUUAAGUAGGGGGUUAGCUGUUUACUUUCCUUUAUUUUCUUAACUUGAGCAAAUCCUUUUCCUUUCUCCCUUAUGGGAUGCAAUGUCUUUGUCUUUUUGUUAGGUAAUAGGAUUGAUUAGAGUUUAAUUUUAUGUUAUCUUUUAUCAGCUUCAACAAUAUCGCCAGAAGAAGGAUGGUAAAGGAAGUAGCAGUAAAGGAAAGUCUUCCAAAAAAUCAAACAAAUCUGAGCAGCAUGAAUCUGAUGCUGAUGCUGCAUCUUCUGUUGCCAAACCAACAGUCUCAUCACAGGUCUCUGAAGGGGAAACUGCAGAUGUUGACUUUUCAGUGUCACAGUCUAUGGAGAGUUCACUGCCUUCUGGGCUUGACACUGCAGCAGUUGUUACAUCACUGGAGCCCAUUGAAUCUGAGACAGACAAUGUCGAUACUGUAUUAGCCCAUAAUGGUGGAUUACCCAUUGAGGUGAUAGCCCCCGGUGAGCAUGAUGUUGAUUCUUCAGUCCCUAAUGGUGGGGAAAGUACGCAGAGUGUUGAUAGUGAGCUGUGCACAGAAAUAACUUCCUCAACUGCAGACAUCCCAGUUUUUGAAGGGGAAACAAAACAUGAUGAUGCUCCGCAUCCAUCUGCUUCAGUUGGUGCCACAGAAGGGACAGUGGUUAAACUUGAUGUGGUAGGUGUUAAUGAGGAAAGGGGGCAGAACCCACUGCUUUCAGAAGAUGAUUUUCCUGAUAUGUCCUUGUCUCAAGCAAGGGGAGAUCAGGUAACAGAUCUAGGUUGUGCUCUCAUUCCCUUGACAUAUGUUUUUAAUUUUUUUCUCUAAUUCUCUGUUAGGGGAUUGAUUUGGGCUAAAUUGGGAUGAGUUAUGUGUGGGUUGAUGUAUAAUUAAAUUCUCAUUUGUUGCUGGGUAGGGGCAAUGCAGGAAGCUAAUGGUAUGGGGUUGAACCAAUUUGAUAGAGGCGGUGAAACAGAGUUUGAAGUUGAUGGUAGAUUUCCUUCGUCUGAGCAUGGUGAAUGUGCUGAACCUCUCGAAGGGGCAACUUCAGAAGUAACUAGAAUGGAUGGGCCAUCCAGUGAGGCAGAGCAGGCCAUCGGCAGAGAUGAUGCGUCUGUAUUUACUGGGGCAGCCAGCAGUUCCCAAGCAGAUGGAAGUUUGGCUGUGAGUCCUCAGAUGAAAAAACUGGCUGAAGAUGUAAUACCCUGUUCACCUGUUGAAGAAGAACAAGAAAUAUGCUCUUCAUUUGAUGCUAUUGGUGGUGAAAAGACUGCAGAAGGAAAUCAGCAAUAUUUACCAGGGGGCUCCUUUGUGUCUUGGGGUAGAAGUCAUGAAACAUCUCUUCAGACAGAAGCGGCAAGUUCAUCAGAUCUGACUUUGUUUCUUGCCAGGGAUGGUUCUCUCAAACUCUCUCAGCUAGCAGAGGUGAUAAGAGGUCUUGAUGAAGAUGAAUAUAGGCUUCUGCUUAACUCUCAAGAAUUGGUUUCCAUUGCAAAUGUUGGGACUGAUACUUUAGCACCAUCUUUCCAUCCAGAUUUAUUCGAGAAAUUGAAAGAGGAAUUAUAUCUCACAAGUUUUACGAAAGAUAUAUUUUAUUUACAGCUUUCUGAGCAGUCAGAUCUGCAAAUGGAAUCUGAUCGGCAUUGUCAUCAGCUUAUUGAUGAAAUACCUGUGCUUCGUUCUUCCAUCAAUGAGGUUCACAUGAAGAACGCAUGCCUUGUAGAAGAGCUAGCACAAUGCAGGUCUGAACUCCAGGUUUGUGCUAAUGCAAGGGAGGAGCUGCAAAACCAAUUUCAUACUGCAUUGGCACAGGCUGAGGAAUUUUCUGCUAAAGCAAAUGAGUUGCACGUUAGCCUUGUAAGGUCACAAGAGGAUUUAUCGAGCCUCUUGUCUGAAUUAGCUGAUUACAAGAAUCUGGUGGCCGCUAUACAGGUGGAUAAUGAUAACUUAAAUAGGACUCUUCAUUCGCUGACUGAGGAGAGAAAGACACUUGCAGAGGAAAAGGAAUCUUCUCUCCAUGAGAAUGAAAAACUGUCAAUGGAGUUAGCUAGAUACAAGGAUUUGGUGGUCACUUUUCAGGAGGAGAGUGAACAGUUAAAUGUGACUCUUGCUUCGCUGACUGAGGAGAGAAAGGCACUUGUGGAUGAGAAACUGUUGUCUCUUCAGGAGAAUGAGAAGCUACUGGCGGAAUUAGCUGAUUGCAAGGGCUUGAUUGCUGCUUUACAGGUGGAACAUUCUGACAUAAGUAAGAAUCUUGCUCUAAUGACAGGAGAGAGAAUGAAGCUUGAAGAAGAAAAGGAGCUUCUUGCAUGUGGGAAAGAGAAAGCAGCUCUUGACUUGGAAGAGUGUAAGGGUUUGCUUGCUGCUCUACAAGAUGAAAAGUCUAACUUGAAUGGGAACCUUACUUUAGUUACAGAGGAGAGGAAGAAGCUUGAGGAGGACAAGGAGUAUCUUUUCCAUGAAAAUGAGAGACUUGCUUCUGAGUUGCUUGUUCUCCAAGAGCAGUUAACUACAGAACGUGAGGAACACAUGCAACUUGAGGCUGAGCUAAAAGAAGUAACAGUGCGCCUAGAGCAGUUAAUGGAGGAAAACAGUUUUCUCAGUGCCAGUCUGGACAUGCAGAAGGCCAAGAUUGUGGAAAUUGAUGGCAGGGAAAACCGGGAUGUUGAAGCUGGGAGUCAAGUACAAAGUUUGGAUGUUGGUAGCAGGGUCCAAGAAAAUGCAGUUGACAAUGAACAUUCUUGCCAAAUCCCUUCUAAGCAAGAUCCUGAAGCUUCCGUUGUGGUAUUGGAGAAAACCUUACCUGUUGAUGUCGUUGGUGGGCCAUCACUUGCACUGCUUGAACAGGAAGUCUUUGAUGAUUCUUCUGGUUUUCUAGUCUUGAAGGGACACUUGAAGGAGGCUGAGGGAAUAUUGCAAAACCUUGAAAAGUCAUUUGAACAGAUGCACUUUCAUUCAGCCUUGUUACAGCGCUCCAGCAGUAAAUUGGCUGCACCAGGAGUAUCGAAACUGAUUCAAGCCUUUGAGUCAAAGGUCCAACAUGAUGAGCCUGAGGUUGAGGAAGGAGAUUUGACUGAAUACAAAUCACUGGCAGAUCAAUUUAAUUCAACAAAAGAGGUAACAGAAAAUUUGAGAGCUGUGCUUAAGCUCUUGGGUCAGGAUACUGAUAAUGCUAGUGCACUUUAUAGACGUGAGCGGGAUUGUAGAAAAUCUGCUAAUUUCACAUUUGGGGAGCUCAAGGUUCAACAUGAAGCUUUGAAGGAUUACGGUGACAAUCUUGAAGCAACCAACAUUGAGCUGGGGAUUCUGUAUGAAGCUGCUAAGCAACAUGCUUUUGCAAUUGAAGCCAAGAAUAAUGAACUUGAGGUUCUUUAUGAAGCUCUAAAGUAUCAAGAAAGUAGCCUCAGUUCAGAAAAUGCGGAGCUUGGUGAGAAAUUGAGCGAGUAUCAUUUGAGAAUUACUGAAAUGCAGAGUCACUUUUCUGAUUUACAGCAAAGGUCAGAUGAGAUGGCUUCUGCUCUAAAUCACCAGUUGGAAAGUUUACAGAAGGAAGCAGCUGAGAGGGCAUUGAUGCUUGAACUAGAAUGGAAAUCUACAGUUACUCAGAUUGUUGAAACAGUCAGGAGGCUUGAUGAGUCUAUUGGGAGAGUCUCCAACUCCACCUUCUCAAAUAACAGCAAUGAUCUCUUGGAUGUAAAUAGCCUGGUCACUACUUCUGUUAGUUUUGCCAUUAACAUAAUCCAGGAUCUGCAAGAGAAACUAGAAGCUGCUUAUACAGGUCAUGAUGCGCUAUCUGGUUCUUAUAAAGAAGUCAAUGAGAAGUAUGAUGAUUUGCUCAGGAAGAAUGAAUUAAUGGUAGGGAUACUAAAUGAGUUUUACAAUGAUCUGAAGAAACUUGUGAUUGAUUCAUGUGUAUUGGUGGGUGAGCCUGAGAUAAACCCUCAAGUUGAGGAGCUGCCUGAUCCCUUAGAUUACAGCAAGUAUAAGAACUUCAUUGAACAACUGGAGUAUGUUUUAGGUGAAAGGCUGCAGCUCCAGUCUGUAACUGACCAACUUAAUUCAGAAUUGAUGAAUAAGACAAGAGACUUUGAGGAAAUGAGAAGAGAAUGCCUUAAUUCAAAUGCCAUUCAAAAGCUUAUAGAAUAUGUUGAGAGUGUUGUAGAACCGGAAAGCAAUGAGACUGACUCAGAUAAAACACCUGGUUCUCGCCUUGAAUUUUUAGUUUCUUUGCUUGUUAAGAAGUACAAAGACAUUGGUGAGCAGGUGACUGAUUGUAGGGAGGAGUUUGGAUCUAAGGUGAUGGAAUUGACAGAGGUGGAGGAAAAGAUACAUCAGUUAGAUGCAUUGAGACUUCAGCGUGAAUUGGAAAUCCUUGCUUUGAAAGAAAGCUUGCGCCAGGAACAGGAAGCCCUUAUGACUGCACGUUCUGAGUUACAGGAAAAAAUAAGUGAACUUGAACAGUCAGAGCAGCGAGUGUCUUCUCUUAGGGAGAAGCUUAGCAUAGCUGUCGCAAAGGGGAAAGGUUUGGUGGUGCAGCGUGAUGGUCUUAAGCAGUCAUUUGCGGAGACAUCUGCUGAACUAGAUAGAUGCUCUCAGGAAUUACAGGUGAAAGAUUCCCAGCUUCAUGAAUUAGAAAUAAAACUGAAGACUUACUCAGAGGCAGGUGAGCGUGUGGAAGCUCUGGAAUCUGAGCUUUCAUACAUUCGCAACUCAGCUACCGCAUUAAGAGAAUCAUUUCUUCUCAAAGACUCUGUACUGCAGAGAAUUGAAGAGAUUUUAGAAGACCUAGAUCUGCCUGAGCAUUUCCAUUCUAGAGAUAUUAUUGAAAAAGUUGAUUGGUUAGCAAGGUCCACCACUGGUAAUUCUUUGCCUCCCACUGAUUGGGAUCAGAAAAGUUCUGUUGGUGGUUCAUACUCUGAUGCGGGUUUUGUCACUGUGGAUACCUGGAAAGAAGAUGCACAACCAAGCUCAACUGUAGGGGAGGACUUGAGAAGAAAAUAUGAGGACCUUCAGAGCAAGUUUUAUGGGUUGGCAGAACAAAAUGAAAUGCUGGAACAGUCCUUAAUGGAAAGGAACCACUUGGUGCAAAGAUGGGAGGAACUUUUGGACGGAAUCGAUAUGCCUUCACAGUUGCGGUCCUUGGAACCUGAAGAAAGGAUUGAAUGGUUGGGAGGUGCACUUUCAGAGGCUUAUCAUGAUAGAAAUUCUUUACAAGAGAAGAUUGAUAACCUUGAAAACUAUUGUGCGUCUUUAACUGCAGAUUUGGAAGCGUCUGAAAAGAGAAUAUAUGAUCUUGAGGUGGGCCUUCAAUCAGUUACUCUUGAGAGGGAGCAUCUUUCUGAAAGAUUGGAGACUUUGACUUCUGAUCAUCAUAACCAUGCAGCAAAGGCAGCUGAGUUUGAACUUGAGAAUGAAAACCUCCAGAAUAAAGUUAGUGGUUUGCAGGAAGAAUUGGUUAAGAGGAUUGAAGAGGAGGAAGGUCUUCUCAAGAUGGAGGGUGAGAUAAGGAGAUUGCAGGACUUGGUUUGUGAUGUAUUACGGGAUCCUGAAUUAAAAGAUUUGGUUCCUGGUGACAGUAGUAUUGCAUGUUUGGAAGGAUUACUGAAGAAACUUAUAGAGAAUUAUACUAGUCUUAAUUCUAUGAAUACUGAACUUGUGAAUAUUGAAAUGGACCAGACCAAGCUAGGUGAUGAAGCCAGAAGCAGAGAAGCACUGACUACUACUCAGGAGGAUGUAGCUUCUUUGAAAAAAGAGCUGGAGGAGGUGCUGCAUGACUUGAUGCAAGUGAAGGAGGAAAGAGAUGGACACUUCAGAAAGCAUCAAUCUUUGCUUCAUGAAGUUCAAGAACUUGAAAGGAAAAGGGAGGAGUUGCAAGACCUACUAAAUCAAGAAGAGCAGAAGUCAGCUUCUGUGAGAGAAAAGUUAAAUGUUGCUGUUAGAAAAGGGAAAUCUUUGGUGCAACAACGGGACACUCUGAAAAAAACCAUUGAAGAGAUGAAUACUGAGCUGGAAAACUUGAAAUCUGAGCUUAGCUACCGGGAAAAUGCUCUGGCUGAUUAUGAAUUGAAGAUCAGGGACCUCUCUUCUUAUCCUGAAAGAUUACAAGCUUUAGAAGCGGACAAUUUGUUCUUGAGGAAUCAUCUGACAGAAACUGAGCGCGUUUUGGAGGAGAAAGGACACCUUUUACACAGGGUAUUUAACUCCAUAGCUGACAUUGAUGUUGGUGUGGAAAUUGAUACCUUUGAUCCAGUGGAGAAGCUGGGGCGAAUUGGGAAAGUGUGCCAUGAUUUGCAUGCAGCUGUUGCUUCUUCUGAACAAGAGUCACGGAAGUCCAAGAGAGCUGCAGAGCUACUGCUUGCAGAGUUGAAUGAGGUUCAAGAGAGAAACGAUGGUCUUCAGGAAGAUCUAGCAAAGGUUGCCAGUGAACUUACAGAAGUCAUGAAGGAAAGGGAUGUGGCAGAGGCUGCUAAACUUGAAGUUCUGUCGCAACUUGAAAAGUUAUCCACAGUUCACUCUGAAGAGAAUAGGAAACAAUAUUCUGAAUUAAUGAUAUUACAAUCUAGUGUAAAUGAACUCAGGAAGGGCUUCAAUGAUAUUCAUAAUCUACUAUCUGAUGUUUCUUCGAAGGACUUAGAAUUUCUGCAAAAUUUGGAGGUUAACAUCAAGUCAUGCUUGGAAGGGGAUGAUGCUCGAGAUGUGGCUGGCUCGCCAUACAUUACAUCCAGCAAUUUAGAGAACAAGGUAACUUUUUCAUGUCCUGCCUUUCCUUUGUGCAUCCAUUUUGGGGUAUGCCUUUUUCAGUAAAUAUAGUGGUUUGCCUCUGUUAUGGUUUCUUUUGUAUUUUCCUUGCAGCCAGUUGAUAAUUAUGCUUGCUGUAUUAUUUUUUUUUUUUGAUAAGCUUGCUGUAUUGUUACUUGUAAUUUUAUUUUAUUUCUUUUUGAUUAGCAUGCAAGUCAUCUGUAUUGAACAAAAACCUCAUUUCACAUUGAGGUAUUUCUUUAAAUAGAUUAUUUUUUUAAUUGUUUCUUGGUUUCCUCUUCAGAACUUUCAAUCCAUGGAUACUUGGUCAGUUACCAAUAUGCAGGACCUUAUGGAUGAUGAUGCUAUAGUCAAAGUUUGCAGUUUAAUCCGGCAUCACUUGCAAGGUUUGAUGACUGAAAUUGCUGCACUCAAAGAAAAGUUCAUUGUGCACUCAAAAUUAUUACAUGAACAAGGUCACAGUAUAUCGAAUGUACUGGGGAUCUUGCACAGAGAAAGAAAUUCUCUGAAAGAGUCAUUUGAAGCUAUGAGGCGAAACAUUAUGCAUAUAGAAUCAAUUGGGAAAGAGAAAGACCUGGAGAUUGUUGUGUUGAGAAGAAACAUUGCCUUGCUUUAUGAAGCCUGUGCUAAUUCAGUCUUGGAAAUUGAAAAUAGAAAAGCUGAGCUGUUAGGAAAUAAUUUGGCUACUGCUGAUCAGGGGACUUACUUGAAGCAUGUAACAUUAGCUGAUGGAGGACUUCCUCUUAGUGGACAAGAUAGUGUUUCAUCCGAGGAACAUAUUAGGACUGUGGCAGAUAAACUUUUGUCAACAAUGAAAGAUUUUUCGAGCAUGAAAGCUGAAAUUGCUGAAGGAAGCCAAAGGGAAAUGAAAAUUACCAUAGCAAACUUGCAGAAAGAGCUGCAGGAGAAGGAUAUCCAAAAAGAACGAAUUUGCAUGGAGCUUGUUGGUCAAAUCAAGUUAGCUGAAGCAGCUGCUACGAAUUACUCGCGAGAUCUUCAAUCUUCAAAAACACUGGUGCAUGAUUUGGAGAAAGAAGUGGAAGUAAUGAGGGAAGAACAGAAGUCAUUACAGCAGAGAGUAAAAGAACUGCAGGAAAGACUCAAAUCACUGACAGACGUGUUAUCAUCCAAAGAUCAGGGUAUGUGUCAUUUUUUGGAUCCUACUUUUAUUUUACCUGUAUAUAUUUAUCAGGUUGGAAUCCUUAUUUAUUAAUGCUAUUUGCUGACAGAAAUUGAGGCCCUCACACAAGCACUUGAUGAGGAGGAGAUCCAAAUGGAAGAGUUGACAAAGAAGAUCGAGGAACUAGAAAAAGUUUUGCAACAAAAGAACACAGAUUUGGAGAACCUUGAAGCUUCUCGUGGAAAGGUUGUGAAAAAGCUUUCCAUCACUGUGAGCAAGUUUGAUGAGCUUCAUAAUCUAUCGGAAAGUCUUCUAGCUGAGGUUGAACAGCUUCAAUCACAAUUACAAGAUCGGGAUGCUGAGAUCUCCUUCUUAAGACAAGAGGUCACUAGAUGCACCAAUGAUGUUCUUGUCACAUCACAAAUGAGCAACAAAAGAGAUUCAGAUGAGAUAUACGAGUUUCUGACUUGGAUUGAGGCAAUCUUUUCUCGUGUUGGGGUACCUGUUUUGCAUUUUGAUACUAAAAACAGUAAGGUGCCUGAAUACAAGGAAAUAAUACAGAAAAAGAUUAGUUCUGUUAUAUCAGAAUUGGAGGACCUACGGGGGGUUGCUCAAAGUAGGGAUGAAUUGUUGCAAGCAGAACGGAGUAAAGUGGAGGAGUUGACACGCAGAGAAGAAACUCUCAAGAAGACUUUGCGUGAGAAGGAAUCCCAAUUAGAUUUGCUUGAAGCUGAGGGAGAUGUUGGUCAGGCUGCUAGUUUGAACUCAGAAAUUGUGGAAGUUGAACCUGUGGUAAGUUAUUUCAUGUGUUUGCAAGUUCCUUUGAUAGCAGAUGGGCAGUUAGGACCUCUUACAGAUCUACUGAUAGGCAAAACUGUGACGUGAGCAAGGAUAACCUAAGUUUUAUGUCAGAAAAUUUCUAGUUUCCUCAUUUCAUUCUGGAAGGAGGAAGUCUUGGCUGGGUUUAUCACACAUACAUAGAUGCAUGAAUAGAGCUAUAGAAGCUCAAUCUAUAAGGCAAAUAUAUCAGCAUUUGACAUAUUAAGUUUCUGCUUAUAAAUUGGACUGUUUUAAUAAAUGAUGAUGAUUUUAAAGUUGACAGUUAGGUAUUUUCAUCUUAUCUGUUCACAAGAAUAAGUUAUACCUUUUGCAGUAUCAACAGCAACGGAAUUUUUAUUGAGUAGUCUAUUUUACUGAAUAUUUGUGUAGAUAAACAAGUGGGCAUUAGCGGGGACCUCCACAGCAUCCCAAGUUCGUAGUUUGCGUAAAGUCAAUAAUGAUCAAGUUGCUAUUGCUAUAGAUAUGGAUGAUGGUAGCAAUAGUAGGUUAGAAGAUGAAGAUGAAGAUAAAGGUAUUCUUUGCUGCUUUCUUAAAAUUAUUUGUUCAUUACUCAUUUAUGCUUCUAGUAAAGAUAAGUUUUAUUUAAAAUUGCACAUCCUUUAGUCCUUACAUUUUAAUUCAUUGUUUCCUCAGUUCAUGGUUUCAAAUCACUUACCUCAUCAAGAAUUGUUCCAAGAUUUACAAGACCAAUAACCGAUAUGGUAGAUGGCUUAUGGUAGGGUUCAUUUCUGUUUUUCAGUUUGUGUUGAUUUGAAGUUGUGCAAAUUUCAUUUGGGCUGAGAGUUUGUUUAUUUAUUUACGCACAAAAGCAGCCUUUUUAUUCAAGUAACUAUGUUAUGUUUAUGAAUUCUGCUAGGGUUUCUUGUGAUCGGGCGCUUAUGCGACAACCUGCCUUACGGCUUGGCAUUAUAAUCUAUUGGGCUGUACUGCAUACGCUGUUGGCAGCUUUUGUAUUUUGACAAGCCAAUCUGGUUAGUGGCCACUUUGUCAGAUGUGUUGUUUCAUAGAGUUCUGGCAUCAUGCGUAGUGAAUAUGUUGAUCUUUAAUCUCCCUGGUUUUUUUAGUCUACAUUUCAGAGUUAUAUGCCUUUUAAUCCUGUUUGAGAUCAGCACUAUUCUACUUUUCCUCAGAUUACAUUUCAUUGAUUUCUCUUAUGUCUUGUUUCCUAACUCCUGUCUUUUCCUCUUAUCCUUGCAUCAUUUCAUAAUCCAAUUUGUGUCCUGUUUCUUACAAAUCCAUGCUUCUCAUACUUGAGUUUAUGGUCUUGCUGUUCUGCAGGUUUUCCAUCUGUUUUUGAGUCAAAGUUUAGCAAGGAGUGCCACCCACGAUUUUUCCUUCAAAUGCAUACUUGGCUCAAUAAUCAUUUUUUAUCUUUCUGAACAUGGACCAUUGAUUCAUUAUUUAGCUCAACCAGGCAACUUUGAUUUGCUGUUUUUAUCUGUAUGCAUCUCAGAUUGCUUGGUUAUGUCCAAUAAGAAAAAAUCAUCGUUACAAUUACAUAGGACAUAGAUUAAGGAUUGUUCACUUUGAACCCAACCAAAGGUUGUAUGAUGCUACUGUAGUUAAAAAGAUUUGUCUACAAGCAACAGAUUUUGUUAGUUAUACACAAACAAGAAUGCUGCAUUUUGAAUGGUGUUCAAUCUUGUACGUAUUCAGCAGAUUUGCAUUACAGUUUGUGCAUAUCUAACCUUAUUUUCCUCUGGUGGCUACUUAUCGCCCUCUCUUCCCCCACCUUUCUCUUUUGUUGGCUUAGUCCUGAAGUUCUGCUUUCAGGUAUUGGAAUCUUAGUGCUUUAAUGGUUGUAGUCAAAUCGAAGAUGGUCUUAACUUGAACUUGUGUCGUACAACUUUUCAACGUGCAAAAACUCUCUAGGCUAUAGAUUCGAUAUGUUUGCUUAUGAUAAAAUGUAUGAAAAAGAAGAAAAAUGGAAGAAUGCUGGUGUUUGGGCUAAACUGAUGACUAGUUUAUACAUAAAACAUAUGAGGUUGAGACAUAGAUAUCACUAAGACCGCACGCAACAUAGAGUGGCUACCGAUAGCAAACUAGAAAUGUUAUCAUUUCUCUUUGGAGAUUGGACAAAAGAAGAAAGAUUCGGGGGGGGGGGGCGCGGUGUGGAGGGGAAUGGGCACAAUCAAUAGAAAUUUGUUUAUGGUUCAGUCACAGUGCACUUGUCAAUAGCCCAACUUGGUCUUCAAAGUCUUUAACGUUUCCGCCCGGAUGCUCCUUGAAUCUUGCUAUCCUAAAAUGCUUUAGCUCAAUUCCUUCUGCCUUUCCAGUAAGCACGAGAUCAGCCAGUAUCCUUCCAAUCACCGGCGCCAUCUUGAAUCCAUGGCCGGAAAAACCUCCACCUAUCACCACAUCCUUCCCAAACUCCCCUCCCAGAAAAUCAAGCACGAAAUCUUCAUCCGGGGUCAUCGAGUACACGCACAAUUGAGUUGCAGCAGGUCCACUUGAAUCAACGGACCCUCUGAAAGUCUCCUCAAUCCAUUGCUUCAAGGAGCUGGGAAUGACUCCAGGUCCCCAUGUCCUCUUAUCAGGGUCGCAAGGAUACCCUCCAUGCACUGCUACUUUGAUCAGCCCUGGGUACUCCAACGAUGGUGUGCCAUACAUGUAUGGCUUCCCAUAGCUAGCGAAUGUCGGAAAAUCACUUUCAAUUGCGUACUUAGCCUCGUGCCCCUCCUUGAUCCUCCAAUAACACACAUUUGUUUCCAGAGGUUGAAUGGGCAGCUCAACCCCACUGACCUUCUUGACUAACUUUCUCAUCCAAGAGCCCGCUGUCACCACACAUUUUUUACCCCAAAACUUGUCACCGUUGCUUGUACUCACUAUCACCCCGCCUUUCACCCCAUCUCUGGUUACACCGUUCACCUCCAUGUUGUCCCAGAGGAAUGCACCAUGCUUAAGCGCCAGCAUUUGGAACAUUGACACCGCCUUGGUGGGCUUGAUGACACCACCAUGCUCGCAGGACACUCCAAUCCAGCCCUCCGGGAUAUCAAUCCUGCCGGAAAACUUUUCGGUGACUUGCUGGCGGUCGAGGACCUGGUGUGGCAUGGACUUCCUUUGGCACGUGGAGAUGACAGCGAGAAGGCUCUUGGCAUCGGCUGGGCCCAUGUCAACGUGUCGGGCCUUGAAGUAGACCCUGAAGCCAAUCUCAGACUGGGCCUGCUCCCACAUCUGAUAGGACUCAUUGACCAUGUCAUGGUAGUAGUCCUCGGGGUACGUUGCUCGGAUGGUGCGGGACUCGCCAUGCGAAGAACCCCGGUGGUGCAGAAAGUCGAACUGCUCCAGCAGCAGAGUUUUCUGGCCUCUUUUGGCUAGUUGGUAUGCGGUGGAGCUGCCCAUGACGCCUGCUCCCACUACAAUUACGUCAAAUUCAUCAGCCGAAUAUCCCAUCUCUCUCUCCCCCUUUCUCUCUCUCUGUGUCUCUCAGUGAUAAGAAAAGAAAUGCUUUAGCGGUUGUUUUCUGCUUGGUUGGAUUGAGAUAUAUACUCCUAGUGGGUAAUUAAGAUGAGAUUUCAAUGUACAGAUCAACCCUUUGGCUGGAAAUUCCAUUAUUGCCAUUCGAUGAUCUGUUUCCCUUCCGAUUUAAUACAUAUGGAGAUAGUUGGCACCUUCACUCCACAGCCAAGAAAAGAAAAAAAAUCAAAUUCUAAAAGCCGAAAACGAUAAGUAUUAGUUGGAUAAUGAAUGGGCUAUAACAACAAAAUGGAAAUAAUUCUUCCAUAGAAGUAAAACUAUUGAAAAGUGAGGAUACUUUGUUUUUAGUUCAAAAUGAAAGCGAAGAAUAUUCGUAGCAAAAAUGAGCAAACACAAGAACUAGACAAGGUAGAGGAUCGUCCAAUUUUGAUCUAACUGAACAGAUGUCAGGGCCAUUUCCACGUGGUACAUUUAAUACUGUACGUCAACAGUGAAGCCAAAAUACCCGGAUUCCCUUCCUGCAAUUUGUCUUUGGCAGCCAAGGAAAUUAUGAUUAUGUUUGGCCAAUCAUCAUGAUCACUGCAUUGGCACGAUUCGAUGCAUCUUCCUUCGGAUUCCCACAUUAAGCUCUGAUGAUAAGAUUGCUUAGUUUGAAACACAACUUGGGUCGUCCUUCAUGUGUUUAUUUCCUUUUUCUCCCUUCAAUUGUCUAAUCAAUUAAGUAAGAUGCAUGUCCAAGAUUGAUAUUGACUAGAAAAUGCUAAAACGUCAGGAAAAUUAUAAUGAAGAAUUUGAAGGCGUCUUGGGAUAUAGAUUAACGUGUAACUCCAAUCCUUUCAGCCGCAAUUAAGCUGGGAAUGGGGAACUUUGUCAGAUGGUGCAACAUGUUCACUUUCGUCACCGUCCAUUUGUUCUAUUCUAUAUAAUCAGAAAACCAAUCUUUUGCUUUCUAUAAUGGCCUAAUUAAACUAAUGCGCCUACCUUUUGCUUUUUGGAAGUGAAGGGUGGAUAUUUUUUUGGGCAUGAAAAUGGGAACGAAAUUGUUUAGCCGACUAAUGAGUGACAAUCAGCCAUGAUUCACGAGGCACUCAGAAUUGUGACAAACGAGCUCUAACCAAUGUUUGGGCAACAGGAAAUUUUGAUUAGUUAGGUACAGGUUAGUAGUUGGGAGUUCUUUGGAUCUUUGGCGCCUAAUUGCAUCACGAAUCACGUGUGUAUAUUUAGAGAGUUCUUCAACAGAUAUGGUCCAGCGUCUGCAUCACCAAGGACAAAUGAAUUUUCAUGUCAUAGCUGACUGACAAAGAGAUCAGAACAAAAGAUCGAGUCAUCCUCCACCACCUAUAGCUGUAUUCAAGUUAACAGUAAUAGAUGAUCCUUCUGCUGGCAAUGGAAUAUUUUUAUUUGGGCACACUGCACGUGUUUGCAAGCUGUGAAUGUCUCUUGUUUUAGAGGAUUUGGGUUUUCGCUUCCAUGUUGGGUCCAAGCUGUUGGCUGGAAAUUAAUGGUCCUUCUUGGCCCCAUCACAAUGGCGGUUGGACGCUGCCUGUGGGACUGUUGUAGGGCAACCAGCAACCAAGCCACUGGCAUAACUAAACUGAUUCAAGCACUAUUUCCUUUUUAUCCAGGAUCAGUUGCACAAAAUUUUAUCCGGGCAUCGUCGAUUGAUGAAAUGACCUGGCGAGAACGUUAAAUAUACACUGCAUUGUGCAAUAGAUGCAUGGUAGUAGGAGCCUUAAGCUUUAGACAGGGAAAAGGCAAUAAAAAAAAGUUGAAAAUACUGACUUUUAAUUGUGAAAUAACAAGGGAGCAUGUGGGCUAAAUGUUAGUCAUUCAGGUGAAUGAACAAUAUGGCCAUAAUUAACUUGAGAAAGAAUAAUGCAAGUGAAGAAAACUAGGAAAAAACCAGAUAAUCUUAUCUUAAGUUUCUGAUCCCUCCAACCUAAAACUGUAGCUAAGGCUCUCCUCUAUUUGAAUGAUGAGUAUUUUAUGUCUUUUUGUUAGGCUUGAAGACAUACUUGAUGAUUGAAUCCUUAAUGGACAACAAUUCGGGAAAUUCUUUCUUUAGCUUUGCUGCAUCCAACUCAUUGUUACUCCUUGGUGCUACAAUCACCUUAGCCUGUUCUUCCAAGCUGAAGUUUUUCCAUUUGAAUUGAGGAUUUAUGUAUGCACUGUACAUCUCUAAGAUCUCGUUGUGGCUUAUAACUCCUGGAUUGGUGAAGUUCCAUAUCCCUCUGCAGUUCCUCUUUGCCAUCUCGAUCGAGAUCAGUAGGAGCUCAUCUAGCACUGUCAUGCUGUUUGGUAUAUUCACCACUUUGUUGUAGCGGGUUAUCUUUGUUAUGAAGUUCCGAGGGUUGCUAAGAUCUGAUGAAAUUGGCAUUCGAACUCUGAGAGUGCAGACAUUGUCAUACUCUUGUAGAAGCUCCUCAACCUGAAAAAUGUAGUACAUACUACAGAUUAAAUGGCGAAAAUAGCUAAAACCAUUGCUGAAAAGUAACAAAAAGGAAAAGUCCUUCAAUGUCACCAUAGCCUUGGUCUUAGAAUAGAAGGAACCGAUGAAGUUGGGCUUAUCUUCCUCUUUGAAUCCAAUGCCUGAUCCUAGUGGAUGCUCUUUAUCAUAUUCGAAAAUACAGCCAGUUGCAAAGUUCAUCAGCAGAAGAUCAUGCUCUCUGCAAACAUCAGCAAGAUUUAAUGUCCCUACUACAUUCGUCCUUAUAGUUUCAACCUUAUGUGAUUCGCACCAAUCAACAUUAGGCCUCCCAGUAACCCCAGCUGCAUUAAACACAUGUGUGGGUUGUACUCGCCUAAUAUCUUCCACAAGUGACCUCCUAUCUUCUAGUCUUCCUCUCCCAUACUCAAAUACGAUAUUCUUUUCUGCGCAAAGAUUUCCCAACAAACCACCAAUCCAACCAGUUCUUCCAUAUAUCAAGAAUUUCAGUCUUGAAGAGUCAGCACAAUCACCUUCCAUUCUAUUUUUGCAAUUUUCAGAUUGUAAGAAAAAUGCAUUAUCAUCGGAAUAAGUCAUUACUGAGAGAUACGGGUGUGGACUGAGGGCAGCAGAUACAUCACCCCACCAAUCAGAGUUACCAGUAUACCACUCCAUCGUCAUCUUUAAUCCUUCCUCCCAAGAAGUCCUUUCUUUCCAGCCAAGCUUCUUGAGUUUUUGAUCAUCCAAGAAGUAUCUCUGAUCAUUGAAAGGUCUAUCUUGAACAAAUUUGAUAGCUUCUUUAGGGUUCAAACCAAAGAGCUUGCAAAUGUCCUCUGCAACGUCAAUGACUCGUCUUUCCCUUUUAGUGCCAAUAUUGUACACAUGCCCUACGACCCCUUUAUGCAGAAUCACAUCAAAAGCCUCUGCAACAUCAUCAGAGUGUAGAUAGCUUCUCACAUUUGUGCCAUUGCCAUGAAUUGGCAACUCCCUACCUUUCAUAGCAAGGAGGAUUAAUUUGGGGAUGAGCUUUUCUGGAUAUUGGUUAGGACCAUAGACAUUAUUGCCCCUAGUAGUAAUUAUUGGAAGGCCAUAAGACCUAUGAUAAGCCAUGACCAGCAUUUCAGCCCCUGCUUUGGUGGCAGAGUAAGGAUUUGUGGGAAGCAGCUGAGAAGCCUCAGGAUUUCCAAUGUCAGUUUCCAUGUCAGUUUCUCCAUAAACUUCAUCGGUGCUCACAUGAAUGAACCUCUUGAUCUGCUUUGACACCUUGCAGGCUUCAAGAAGUACAUGGGUGCCAUAAAUAUUAUUGUUAGUGAAUUCAAAGGAGUUUCCAAAUGAAUUAUCAACAUGGGUUUGGGCAGCAAAGUGCAUUAUAGUAUCAAUAUCCUCGGCUACCAGAAGAUAGUUAAGAAGAUCAGUACAAAUGAUAUCACCCUUGACAAAUUUGAAGUUCGGAGAGGAGAAACAUGGCUGGAGAUUCUUGAGGCUGGAACAGUAGUCUAACUUGUCAAGAGCCACGAUCUUGUACUCAGGGUAGUUAUUGAUCAGUCUACUUGUCACAUGGGAGGCAAUGAAACCGGCUGCACCCGUUAUCAGGAUUUUUUUGGGUGCAUAAGGAGCAGGUUCAGAAGACAUCCUCGGUUUUCUUUCUCUGGUCUCAAUAUGCUAGCACUGCAUAAAGUAUUCCAAAGAAAACAAAAAGAUUCAACAAGAAAUUAUGAUUAAAACAUUGGAUGAGCAAAGGUUAAAUGCAUAAAAGUAUCUAGUGCAACUUCAAUCCUCUCAAAAUAUGCAUAUUUUAUCGGUAAAAUCACUCAAAAAAAGAUACUACAAACAUUCACUGCAUGUACUCUCUACAGAAUGCAGAUAAGGCAUUUAAAUCAUCUUCAUUUAGAAACUUAAAAUGAAUAUCAGAAUCGAAAAUGGAAAGAACCAUAAUCCAACAUACACUGAUCAUCUAAUUCUCCCAAAAAUUGUCAACAACUCUUGCCCGAAAUGAUGCCAUAUCUGCAAGAAGAGCUUUAUCCAAGAUGGUAUUCGAUGCUAUGACAUGAAAGUUCUCUUUGUGGCAAAUCUAAUGUAAAUGGAAAGAAAGAAAGGGAAAAACCAACACACAUGGCAAUGCAUUGCACAAGAAGAAUGUGUCUAUUAUUGGGAGAGGAGCAGAUUCACGUGAUUCGAAAAGAGUGGCGAAACAGGUGAUGGAAGACAUGAUGGAGUGGAAAUAGAAGAAAGCUUGGAUCAAAUCUUGAGUCAUAAGUUCAGGGUUGUUAGAGAUUAAGAAGGUCUCUGACUUUGUGCUAAGGCUACAACUCAUGUAACGUGUUAUUCAUCCCGACGGUCUUCCAGCUUCAGAUCAACCAUGGACGCUGACCUUAUCUUUUAUUUUCCCGUAAAAUUCCAGUAAUUAGAGAAUUUAAACUUGGUUCAUUUAUCCAAAAAAGGAAAAGAAAUUGAAUUUGUUAGAUUUAGGGAUAGAGAUUAUAACAUAUAGUCCUAGAAUAUAUAUAUCAUUUUAUCUUUUGUGAACCUGAAUUUGUUAGAUUUCAAAGCUAGAUUUUAUCUUAUCUCUUCUAUAGAUUUACUCACGGUUAGGUAAUUUAUUAAUAAAAAAAGAAUUCGAACCCUUACUUUUUAAGUAGAGAGAUCAAAUACUAAUCAAUGAACUAAAUACUCAAGUGCUUACGAUUAAGUAGUUUAAUGCUUCAUAUGUUUGUAAAAUGCACCAGAAAUCACUUUGCUUAGCUGCUCAGGUCAUGCAAUAAGCAAAAUUUCAGACAAUGUUUGUGACUAUUUUAGCAAAUUAACUUACACACGUAUGACACUCGCUAAUCAAGACAUAUAUGCAUAGAAAUUUAUCUAAAAUAACUACCAAAAUGCUACAUUUAAUCUUUCCAUUAAACAUGAUUUAUUGAGGGGAAAACUUUGUCUCUUACUGGAAUGACUCUAAAAACUCAACAUUAUGGGUCUCAAAUUACUCUUUUAUUCAUUGAAAACUAACCCAUAUCCAUAACUGUAUUAAGACCUAUAAAAGCAAUUGCAAAAGUCUAUCCAUUGUAUUUAUAUAUUAAAAUAAAAACGAAUCACUUAACAGAUGAAUUAGUGAAGUCAAGUAUUUCGUGUGAAAAUGUUCUUUACACUUCUAAAGAUCUGGCACCAUCAAAUCAAGGCUAGCCCUUUCUUAUGAUUCCUUAAUAAAAAUCCUUACCUUUUAAAAAAAAAAAGUUGUCUCUUACAAAUCUAUUCAUGGGAAAAGUUCAGGCUCAAGGCUGCAUGCCCGACCUGCAUGUAAAACAAAAGAGUAGUCAUUCCAGAGAAGGUAGUAACUUUGUUUUUGACAAAAGGAAAGUUACUUUUAUGGCAUUUUGGAUCCUCUCAAGGCCCUAUAAAAACGUUCCUCUACGUGACCGUUUGAAGCAUCAAAGAAGAGUUCUUACAGCCUUACCAGUGAGUUCUUGAGAACUACUCCUUUAGCUUUAGGUAAAUGGCAUUGCAAGUAAAGAAGACCCUCUUCCUGCUCAUUGCGUUACUAUUAUUUAGUUUGACAUCGGCUCAAAAUUCUGGGAUAGCAACUUACUACACCCCUCCCUACAUGCGUAAGCUUUCGGCAACAUUCUUUCUUAGUUUUUGAUUCUAACUAAGAUGUUCGGAAUCUUAUAUCUAAUGAAGGGUUUUCUUUCUGUUUUAUUGUUCUUGUUGGAGCAGCGUCUGCUUGUUAUGGAUUUGAGGAUCAAGGGGUAAUGAUCGCAGCAGCAAGUGAAGCAAUAUGGAACAAUGGGGCAGCUUGUGGCCAACUCUACCAGGUGAAUUGCCUUAGUGGGACAAAUGCAGGCACCCCAAUGCCGUGUCAGGGGCGUGGAGUGGUGGUGGUGAAGAUUGUAGACCGUUGUCCCGCCGGGUGCAGGGGUACAAUUGACCUGUCACAAGAAGCAUUCGCCCUAAUUGCCGAUCCUAAUUCUGGAGUUAUAAACAUCUCUUACCAACAGUAAGCGCCAUUAGUGUUACAUUAAAAUUAGCUGCUGUCAGUGCACUUAAUCUACAGUUCCUUGACGCUUCAGUCUUCACUACUGCUAUAUUCGUUUUGAUAUGAACAUAUUGAUGGAAUGUGUUUGUACAGGGUUUAAAAGACGAGGUCCUGACACGUAGUGUUAAAAAGAUGGGCACAGCGAUGUGGAAUGAUAAUUUUCUACGCUUUACCUGUUGUUUCGUUUAGUGCUUUUGUAUAAUUUUGUACUAUCUAAUAGUUUAUUUCGUUGAUUUGGCAUUUUUGUACUUGUCUCGAUCAAUAAACAUGUAAGUGGAUUCAAGAUUUUGUACCAGAAAGGAAAUUAAAAGAAACAAAUAUCGCUGUUGCUGAUUUGACUCCUGCAUUUCUGAUAAACACUGGUUGGAGGUCAAUGGUUUGGGCCCCUUGCUUCAACCUGACGAUCCAAAUGAGAAAAUUUGCUUCAUUUAACCAGCCUAAAUGAUAAGUUUUUCUGUAUCCAUGCCCAACCUGUGGGUGGGGUUGGGCCCAAGGGACCUGUCUUUUACCUCUGUCCAGGGGAAAAUGGCUACAUGGUCAGGGGAUUCAAUCUGAAGUCACUCAAUUCAACUUAACAAGGCAUUUCAGGUUAAAAAACCAACAGAUGCUUCUAUUUCUGUCAUGGAACAUUAAGAAAACAAGAAAAAGGCAUAAAGCUUCAUACAUUGGGUUUAAGCUUCAGGCAUAAAGCCAGUAGUCUGUCAGAUCCUUUGUAUAUGGAUACAUACACCAUGUUCAGGUUCCACAAGCAUCCUAAAAGCAGGAGAAUGUCGAUAACUUGGAGAUAGAGAGAAACUAACCCUGGAAACAAUGAGGGAUAGAAGAACCUUCAAUUGAACCAUGGCAAAGUUUUUCCCCAAGCACAGGCGAGUACCUAAACCAAAUGGGAUAUAGCCUUGCGGGGAUUUGCAAGCUUUGGAGACACCAUUGAUGAACCUCUCAGGCUUGAACUCAUUGGCAUCCGGUCCCCAUAGGUCAGGAUCCCGGUGCAAAGUUGGAAUCAGAGUCCAAAUAAAUACACCUUUCGGGACCAAAAUGUUUCCAAUUCGAGUCUCUUUGAGCGCCUCCCUAGACACGAAUGCUGCUGGGGGGUAAAGACGCAUGGUUUCUUGAAUCACCAUAGUCACCUGCAAGGAAUUAAAACACAUGGUUUACCAACUUAUAUGUGGUAAUGAAAACUUUUAGGGAAUCAAAGGAAUAUUGCAGAGCAUGCGUGUACCGUUUUCAAUCGAGAAAUCGAGUCUGCAUCAGGCAGGCCAUUCUUGCAAACUUGAGCCACCUCUGCUUGAAUACGAGAUUGCCACCCUGGAUGCAGAGCCAGUAGCAUCAAACACCAGGAGGCAGUGAUGGCAGUUGUCUCAUGGCCAGCGAAGUAUAUGUUCUUGCAAUUAUCAACUAUGAACUGCUGAGAGGAAGCCUUGCCUACAUAGGCAUCAUUGACAGCGCCCUCUAAUAUUAGCUGCAUCAAAUCUUUUUGACACGAAGAUUUGUCUACACAUUCCUGCUGGCGUCCUUCGACUGUCUCCCAAAUCAACAAUUCUACUUCUCUUUCCAAUGUGCUGAUCUUCUUCUUGGUGGAAAGAAAUCUGCCAAUCCAUUAUUAGUACAAUGCGAAUUGAAAACACUAGUACAAUGCCGAUCAUGAGGUGUGAAAUAUAUAUAUUGGGAUAUUGUACCUUGAAUUAUUGAGCCCAAAGACAAUGCCUGGCUUGUUAAUUAUGGUGGUUUGAAGAGUCCUAAGCUUGGCGAAAAUCUCUUUGCCUUUAGCAUAAGAGCUCCCAAAACAUGCCCUGGCAAUGACAUCGGCUGAAACGCUCCUUAAAUCCCCAUCCACAUUGAUUUCCGCCCGCAAACCGCCUUCUGCUUCAAUGAUUGUUUCCCAUUUUUUCAGCAAUGGCUCUGUUGAUUCUACCAUAAGCCCCACCAUGCCCUGACAGAUAUACCAAAUGGUCCCAACUUACAACGUUUCUACGCCAGAUAAACAUAAAAUAUUUAUGAACGGCUUGCGAAAUAUUACCUUAACCUUGUCCAUGAAGAACUCUGGGGCAAUGAUCUUCCUUUGAUGGGCCCAUAAAUGGCCAUUGGCUCUUAUGACACCAUUGCCGAGCAUGGGUCGAAGAGCCUUGGUCAUGUAAGAAGCCUUGCCCAAAUGCAAAGUAUUCAACUGGUUCAUUUCCUUCACCAGCUCAAGGUCAUUCACGUACAAAUGUUGCCUAAGCCCCGUCGAAUAUGUGUAUAUUUGACCUGCAUCAAUUUCAACUGGGGUUAAUAUUAAUUUUGUAAAUAACUAAUAUAUGCAAAAAGAUUCAUUGGUUGAAUCAAACUUGGAAUUGGGUUUUCAAUUUUUAAUUUUGAUAGUAAUAUAGUAAUAAAUCGUCAUGGUUAAAUCAGAAAAGAAAUUCAAACUCGACCUAAUCUAUAAAAUAUUUUCUAAAAAACCUUUACUCUUAUUUUUAAUUUAACUUCUUCUUAAUUUACUAGUAAAAUAAUGUAUCAUGUGUAGAUGUUGUUAUCACUUGCACACUAUACAAUAAUAAAAUAACGACCGAGGGUAGCUACUUGUUUUGGUGUUGGCAUCUUUGAUGUGGGAAUAUGCUGCUAUAUGCCAAAAAUUAUAAAAUAAAGUUAAAUAAUUAAUAAUUAGCAGUAAAAAUAUUAAUUAAUAAAUGAAGAAUUAUUAAGAGGGGUUCUAGUGUAUUUUAGCACACAAUCAUUGUUUUUUUUUUUCAGAUUAAAUAUUAUUUUGAGUCAUUGUCAUCAGGCUUACACUUAUAUUGAUGUAGUAUAAUAAUAUUCAUUUUAAAUCCAAAAGAAAAGUCUAUAAGAUAGUUUAUUUUAAUCAAGUCUAAACAAAUAACCAAAGCCAGAUAAUUUCAUCUAAAUUUUCGUUGUUUUUUUUAUUUUUUUCUCUUUAAUCUUUACGAGAUUAAAAUAAAAUUUUUGAUUGUGAUAUAUUUUAUAUUAAAAUUUUAAUUUUUUUUAUAAUAUAUGUGUUUUUAAUAUAUGUAUAUAUAUAAAAAAGAAAAAGACAUCAUUUUGGGACAUUUUGAAAAUGAAAGAUGAACAAAGAAAAAGAGAUGAAGAAAGAAUAUAAAUAUUUUAAUUUAUGUUUUUCAAUAAUUUGUUUAUAAUUUUUUUUUGUAUUGAAUUUGUUUGUGUUUAAUACACACUGUAAUUCUCAAUCUGGAAGAAAAAACAAGAAGAUAGCUUUCAGAAUCAAGAAAACAUAACAAGCUACCUAUAUGUUAAGAAAUUGUUUGCUUUCACUUUAAAAUCUCUUUCCGAAUAUUACAAAAGGGAAGAGAAGGAAGAAAACAAAAAUGGAAGACGUCUUUGUUUUGAGCCAACAUUGUACAUUUGGCACUUAGAAAUGGACUGUCAUGCGAGACAUUUCGUAAGAAUGCAAAAAGUUUCAAACAUUUUCCGGGAAAAAUGACCCCUUUCUGUCAGUUUCAACAGAAAGUUGUCUUCCUUGACUGAGAUUUUGACCUUUGUUUAUCUUUCUGUAUGAUCAAAACACACGGAUAUGUAUGAAUUUGUUGAGGAAAUGAUCAAAUACAUGGCUCUUACCGUAUUCCUUUCUCCAAUGAUCAAGAUACGGGAAGAGGGUGGAAGUGUAGUCAUGGCCAACAAUUUCACUGUGACUCCGAGUCUUCUUUGCCUGCAACUGGAUUUGCUGCAUCUCGGCUACAUUCCCGUAGAGAAAAGAAGGAGGAGGCCCUCUGAUGCCUUGCAUGCAGAGCUUCCUUCUCAGCCUUCGAGACUUGAGCCAGCUCUUGCAGUACUGAUGAAAGACGUAGCAAACGACUCCUGCGAGGGCUAGCGAAGAAAGGGUUCUGAAGAGGAGAAGGAAUUCCAUUUCUUGAGUUUAAUUUCUCAAGUACUGGAGGUGGCGGUGGUACUAGCCAAAACUUUUUUGUAUUUGUGUAUGAAUAUGUCUAUCGCUAGCUUAUUUUUUUUAUAGGAUGGGGGAGAUCCAGGUGACAUUAAUGCGAAGUAGAUUAGCGUUAAGCAAGUAGACAUUAACCUACAAACAGAUAGGGACCGGUGGACCAGCAUGAUGUGAAGUAUACAUGUACAUGAUGCUCCUCAAUUCUUCUAUAACAUCCAAUGAAAAAUGAUUGGAGGCCAACAGGGCCAGGAGAGGUCACCUUUGAACUUGACAAGCUGUUUAUCGGAGGGAAGAACAUAUAGAGGUAAAUUCAAUGGACGGAGUAGAGAAAACAAAUUAAGGUAUAUAUAUAUUACGUGUAAUAAAGUCCUGAUUUUACUCAUUUUUUGGAUUUUUGUCUCGAAUAGGACAUUAACCACCUCCUAUCAUUAUUUAAAUAAUUUUUUUUUUCAUUUUUCAAAAAAAUUUAAUAUAUAUAUAUAUAUAUUAAUGGUAUAAAGAGGAAUAUAAGUGAUUAAACCUAAUUAUAAAAUGAACAAGUAUUUUGCAAGCAAAGUUAAUGGAUUGAUAUUUCCCAACAAUAUUUAACUCACUGUGGACGAUAAUUUUAUAAUUUUCUUUAGAGAAAAUUUUCAAAAAAAAAAUUCUUUAGAGUUAUUUGGGGUUGACUUUUGUAUGUCUUGAACAAACGCACAUGCAUACUUUGAAAACUAAAGAUGAUAAAAAUAUUUAGGCUUCAAUCUCUAAGCUAAGUACUGUAAGAAGACCUUGAGAAGUGGUUAUCAAAAGAAAAAUAAUAAUAAUAAUAUAUAUAGCUAGCUGUAGCAAUCCAUGCUUGCAAUCCUGUAAAGUUGAAGUUGAUGUAGGCAAGGACUGGUCGAGCAAAUUAGGUUAAUAUCAUUUCAUUUGGGUUAGAAAGUAAGAAAGAAAUGGAUUAGUCGUCGACAAAUAUAAUCUUACAAUAAACAAAUCUGACCCUUUGGUCAAGUGGCAAAUCUGACUCGACAUUUCUGGUUCCAUCCCUUUGUAGCUUACCAUGCAACGAAAGACCAGGUCGCAUAUACGCAUAAACCCCCCACUUUCACUUCGUAAACCUCAUAAAGCCUGCUUUAGCGGCCGACCGUAUGGAAAGUUUGAUCUCAAAAUCUUGGAACCAGGCCUUGGGUGAUCAUUUCAUUGUAAAGAAAAGGGAAUAUCCUUCUUAAUCACCACCAUUUUCAGGCAUUUUAGCUAUGUAUAAUCGGCCUGUGCAUUGUACAUAACUAUCUAGAAUAUAAAAAUACCAAAGCUUUCAGAGAUUAAUGCUCUCAGACCUUAAGUAUAAAUACAUGGCAUUCCUUCCCAUUUGAUCACCACUCAAACUCACAGGAAAAGCUAGCUUCUUUUUGCUUUGUUAUAAAGAAGAUAUACACUGCAUGCCUGCCAAAGACGAUAUGGCAUUGCCCUAUUUCCGCAUCCUUUCCAUUACCCUCGUUGUUGUUGCUUCCUGCUUAAGUCACCUCCCUUUACUGUCAAAUGCUCAAGAAGCUGGCACUGCGACCUACUACACCCCUCCCUAUACACGUAAAACAUCUCAAAUUAAAACAAAAGUAGCCUCAUUUUUUGCAUUAUAAUUUAUCUUGUGAGUUGUUUUCUUUCUUUCUUUCUUUCUUCUGCAGCUUCUGCUUGCUACGGUUACGAGGAGCAGGGAACCAUGAUUGCAGCAGCAAGUGAUGAAAUUUGGAACGACGGCGGCGCAUGUGGGCAAAUGUAUCAGGUCACUUGUGUUAGCGGAACAAACGAAGGGACCCCGUAUCCUUGCUGGGGAAGUGGGACGGUGGAGAUUAAGAUCGUGGACCAUUGCCCCGCCAGGUGUAGAGGAACCAUUGACUUGUCACAAGAGGCAUUUGCCUCCAUUGCUGAUCCUGAUUCUGGUGUUAUAAACAUCUCUUAUCAACAGUACGUACCAUAUAUUAUACAUAUUAUUAGAUCCAUCCAUCUCCUAAUAAAAAAAAAAAAGGACAUAUAUUUAAAAACAAAAAGAGUAAUUGUUGAUUUGAAUUUUGCAGGGUUUGAAGGAUGACUCGAGAGUACAUUCAUUUAUUAUGGGUGCACCAAUUCGGAAUAAAAUAAUUCUAGCAAUCACAAUUUUGUUCCCCAUUUCAAUGUUGGUUUUGGAUCCACUAAUAUUGCAAGUGGGCAAAUAAAAUUACUAAAGAAUAAAUAGUAUUACACAAAUAUUUUUUUUCUCCCCACUCAUUAGUAACCUUGUUGUGGAAGCAUGAUUUCUUUUCAUGGGAAUUAUAUGAGAAUGAUGAAUAAGAUCUUUGGUUCCUGAAACUUGAAAGAAAGCGCUAUUUGUCGCCCAAUUAUGUAAUUCAAGCAUGCAAAAACCCAAAGUGGUGGGCACCCAUCAAAUCAUGGUAAAAGUUGAAUAUGAUGGAACCCAAUAAUUACUCAUACGAAAUGAAAACCUUAUUGUGGUAACGUAAAAUCUUAGGUUAAAAAUUUUAAUAAGAAGAAAGAUAUGUCAUAAUUAAAGUUCAUAUUUGAUACAUGUUUAAUGUAUAAUAUUUAAAUGUUAUUAUUUAUUAAUAAAUAAAUAUAUAUAUAUAUAUUUGCGCAUUUAACAUCAUGUAUUAAUGUGUAUAGAAACUAUACAUUAGGGGCCUGGAUUAGGGACCUUCUUCCAUUGCAGUUGGUGGUUGUGUCGUGGGCCGAUGGUUUCCAAUGGCUAUUGUAUGGAUGAAGUUUGCAUGCAUAUAUGGUGCAUGGUCCCUCUUUUAGAAAGUUAGGAAUGAAAGUAGAGUAGGACUAAUUAAUGAAAGAAAAGGAGGGGAAUGAGCUGUUUCCAUAGCAGAACAAGAGGGCUGCAAAAUUAAAUGCCUUGUUAGCACUUUCUUUGUUUAUAGGUGGGAGGGUGAGAGUUGAUCAUUCCCCUUUUUAUCUUAUUAGAUAAGGAUGAGUAUAUAAAAUCAAAAUAAUCCUUCAAAAUUGAUUGACUUCUCUUCAUUUCAAUAGAUAUGCUUUCAGUUUUGAUCUUAGUCCAUUAAAAGGGAUAAUCUAUUUAACUAUCUCAAUCCAUUUUCAGUAUUCAAAAUUUAUAAUCGAAUUCAUUGAAAAAUUAAAAAAAUAAUAAUAUAUUUUUUAAGAUAAAUUAUAUAUUAUUAAUGUUUUUAAAAUAUACUUUAUUCAAAUCAAAAUAAUCGAUUGAAUUGAUUAAAAUAAAUUAGUAUAAGUUAUUUUCAAGUUUUUAUUAUAAUUUGAUAUCGUUCAAGAUAAGUUGGUUACGGUUAUUUUCGAGUCUUUAUUAUAAUUUGGCUGAUUAUUUUUUAUAAGAUUUUGAUUAUUUCGAUUUUUAAAAUUUCAAGUUUAUUUAUUUAAGAAAAAAAUGAAAAAGAUUUGGGUCAAGUCAUUGGGCAUUGGGCCUGUUCUUUGAUCAGCCACCAAAAGGCCACAAUGGACCAUAUGCUAUUCCUUGAUGGGCUUUUUUAUUCAUGGCUCGAUAAUAAGAAUUAGGGAAGUUGGUUUCGUUUUGGUACUAAAUCUGGAAUAAAGACUGUCAAGCAAGGGCAGUAUUGGAAUAUUAAGCACCAACCGACUAAUUUCGCCGGUUUUAAAACUUGUUGGUAUAUAAAAAAAAUCAAAAGCCCUAAUUCCCCCAAAAAACAGAAGGCGGAAGCAGCUGCUACGGCCUCUCCUCUUUCCUCCUCUGCGUAACGCACCAGGUUCAGAUCUCUCUGUCUUUCAUUUUUUUAAUUAAUUUUGAUUUAAUUUCUUUUGUUCUUUACUUUAUUGCAACAUUUAAAAAAAAAUUUGUUUGGUUGUUGUGUUUGGUGUUGAACUGAAAUUUGAAUAACGUACGAAUUGUUUGAUAGGUUUUCUUUUGAAUCCCAAAAAAAAAUGUCUCGCGUGUACGUGGGUAACCUUGACCCACGAGUCUCGGAGCGAGAUCUUGAAGACGAGUUUCGUUGCUUUGGAGUUAUUCGAAGGUAGAAGAUCGUCGUACUUUACAUUUUUAUUUUUUUUUGUUUCGUGUUCCUUUGAACUGCUACAUGUUACACUAUAAUUGUCUGUAAUUUGAGCACCUUUAAAGUUUUGAUUUUGUUGUCUUAAUUCCUUCGAAUGCUGUGUUUUGAUUUGCUAAAUGUUUCUCUUUUAUCUUUUUUGUAGUGUAUGGGUUGCUCGUAGGCCACCGGGUUAUGCUUUUAUUGACUUUGAUGAUCACAGAGAUGCUGAGGAUGCAAUCCGUGAAGUAGAUGGUAUUCAGACCUGAUCCUCUUAUAUCACAUAAUGGCACUAGUUGCAUCUUCAUGUUCUGUAUGGUUAGUUGUGAUUCCUUUCUGGUUGGAUGGGACGAUGCUAGCCUUUCUUGUUAAAAAAAAAAUGGAUAAUGCCCUGAUUAGGAGCUACCACAUAGUUAUCGGGCUACUCUUUCUUUAGUAAUAAGAAAGUAUUAUGAUGGAAGUCAUGAUUUUGGGAUGCCUCUGGUAGUCUCCUACUUCUGCAGAAUCAGGUGAGCUCUAUGAAGAAUGUACUUCUGCAGUUCUACAGUUCCAUGUUUAUUUGUGGAGGAAGUGUGUACAUGUUUGAUCACAACUGAGCUGCUAUUGUUGCCAUAUUUGCUAAUAAUAUGGGUCAUAUUACAAGGGACCCUCACUCUUUUUAAUUUACUUUAUAGUUAGAUUUAUUGUCCAUAACCAUCUGUUUUUAUGUUGUUUUUGACAUUUUUCCAGUCUAGUUUUAUAUCUUAGCUCCAUAGUAUGUAAAACUUGUAGAGGGGUCAUAGCCUUUACCUUUUUUGUUCAUCUAACAGCAAGUUUCUGAUUUCUUUUUCUUAAUGGCAUCUUUAAUGAGCAUGAGCUUAUCAUUUGAGAUUCGCACUAUACACCGUGCCUUAGAAGUCGUGGAUUUUGAUCAGGCAAGAAUGGCUGGAGAGUUGAGCUUUCUCAUAAUUCUAGAGGCAGAGGUGGACGCGGAGGUGGAGGUGGUCGUGGACGCUCUGGUGGUUCGGAUUUGAAGUGCUAUGAGUGUGGUGAGCCUGGUCAUUUUGCUCGAGAAUGCCGUAUGCGUGGUGGUUCGGGAAGACGUCGCAGUCGCAGCCCUAGAUAUCGCAGGAGCCCAAGCUAUGGACGCAGGUAAGGCCUUCAAACCAAACAUUGUCUUAUCUUUAUGAUUAAAUGAAGUCUUAAUUUGGUUGAAUGACACUUACCAUUUUGAAGCAGAAGUUACAGUCCUCGUGGACGAUCCCCAAGACGUCGUAGUGUCUCUCCUCGUGCGCGUAGCUACAGCAGGUCUCCACCAUACCGUGGUCGUGAGGAAUUGCCAUAUGCUAAUGGGUGAAGCUCCUUGAACUUUAUACUAGUAGCUGUAAAUGCUUUCUUGUUGUAAUUUUUUUCACCAAUAAGUAAGGAAGUGCAUCGAGCUGAUUAGGAUUUUGUCACCUGUACUACACAUUUUGACCAUGCUCAGAGCUAUGUUCAUCUUAUUUUUUUUUUUUUCCUUUUAUGUCACAUGGUUUUGCAUUAUGAUAUAUGAGUGUGAAAUAUUGGUACUGAAUUUGGUGCAGAAAUGGUGUAAGGGAACGCCGUCGAAGCAGGAGCUAAGUAGCACAAGGAUGUAACUUUUAUGUGAGGAGACUGGGAUUAAGUGUGUUUAUUGUGUUUGGACUUCAGUGCAACUAUUUUAAAUUGGCCCUCAGCCUCUUGGAUUUGGAUAAGUUUCUUUUAGUUUUUCUUUAUUCUAUGAUGGUUUUCUUUGCUUUACUUAUGCUUGAUAGUCCUUUUUUCUAUGUAGGAAAAAAGUUGCUUUAGAUGGCCUUUAUAAAUUUAUUGAGAAAUCAUUCUGGAAGUCUGCUAAAAAAUUCAUGCUUUUCUUUUUGUGUUGAGGUGUCUUCUGGGUCUGCCUCAUUGGUUUUCUGCUUCUACACUCCCCUGGGAUUUACUUCUUUGCUGCCCGGCUAUGGGAUCUUCAAUUCUCGAUGAUUGUGGGUCCCAUUUGGCAUCAUCUCUAGUUGCUACUGUUUGAAUGAAUCUCUCCAGCUGUGAUGCACAUACUCUAGUGGCAUUUCUUUACUUUAUCUUAAAAGGAAUGAGGAGCUGCGUCAAAUGCUUCUGGCAGGUACUUAUAUCUGUUCUACAGAAGUUGAUGUUUUAGGGUCCUUACAUGAGUGGGAUUGGUAAUUCACAGAUAUAAUUUCUUUGCAAACUUUUGAAAAUGACAACAAAAAAGAUGUAGAAGGAUGCAAGGAUAUUUUACUUACUGUUUUUAUAACAUGUUUUUGGUCAUUCAGCUGACAAGCAAGAAUAAAUUUGGAGUCUUCUACUUCUAUUGGGUUGGAAAGUUGGGGAGCCGAACUUGCUUUUCUUCCUAGUGUCUUCAUCUAGAUCCAGAUGAUAAUACAUGAUAAAAAAAGAGUGUUUGCUUUUUUUUUUUUAAUUUACUAUUUGAAGUGAGUCUUCUGUCAACAUUUUUUGGGGGCUACAUGAAAUGGGGUUUUCUGGGAUGGUUGGCUUUUAGCUGCAGAACUUGAUGAUCUCUGAGCAUGUCCCCGCAAGUUAAUUAUGAUUCGUCCACCCAGCUAUAUAUUGGGGUCUCUUCAUAGGCUGCAAAACAAGUAUAGGUGAAGUGACAAUGCCUGUUCUCUUUGGUCUCUACUGGAGGAUGGUAAACCUAUCAAAAUUUGGUGGUUGUGUUUGUGUUUUAACAGCACGGAGCUUAUCUCUCUCCACAUGUUUAUGGUCAUUGCUUAGGAAUGUUAAUCUUCAUUGCGCCCCUUUGAAUCUCUUUGCUACAAGUGAGAUGGUUACGCAGCUGGACCUCAUCAUGGUUUUGGCCCUGUGGAAUAUAUUAGACUCUGAAACAAGAGCAGGGAUAAAGUUUUUCAUAUUAGGUUUCAUAGGGUUCAAUCAUUUCAGAUUGGGAAUUCUUCUACUUUGAAAAGUGUCUAGAUGAAUUCAUUAUAUUUUUCUGAAACAAUUUUUUUUGGUAUGAAUAUGGUCAAAUGAGGGUCACACUUUUGUUUGUUUUCAUUGAAUCAAUUUUUACCAAGUUUCCCAUACAUGAGUGGCAAGAUGAUUGCAAUAUGCCCUUAUUCAACUGAGGGUCACCUUCAAAUUUACUCUCCUGUUGAAUUCUUCUCCCAAGGUUUAGAUCAUGUUAUUGGUGGCUUUGUCAGCCUCCACUUGGUUAUUGAUAUUGAAACUUUUUAAAGUCCAGCAAAGACUUUUUCUCCCAUUUUAAAUGAGGGUGGGCCGGCCUGUUAACAUGAUUUGUCAUUAAAGGCAAGGGGUAGUUGUAGCCUAAUUAAAGCACAUUCCAUUCCAAAUUGGCAUUUUUUCCAGGCUUACCCCACAAAAGCGGAUGCAAAAUAUCUUCCUUUUCAACUUAAAUCCAAUUGCGUGUGUCUGUACUGUAUGUUAAAGCAAGACAAGUUAAAGAGGUUGUCAUUCAAUCUACAUAUGAUUAUGGUUCACUUGUUUUUGGGACCAAAAGAAAUAGGGCAAUGCCAAGUAGUUGAAUCUGCUUUUUCCCUAAUUCAAUCAAAAUAUUACUUAGGAUCUAUCAAAAUAUUAUAUUUGGUUUUUUACUGUGAUAUGAUAUUAUAAUAAUAUAAAGAAUUAUAAAAGUUAAACGAGUUUGAAUGGAAUAUUUUGAGAUGGAGUUAAUUAAUUACAAUCAUAAAUUAGGUUAAAUCAAUGAAAAUGUUAGAUGAAGUCUUGAAUCGUACGUAACUUUGAUUACGCUAGAUAAUGAGAAGAAUUGAAAGUGAAAUUAUGACCCUGUGGAAACCGACGUGGCAAGAACUGGUUGGGUCGUGGGCCCCAAAACAAACUGUUCCAAACUGCCAAUAACGAAUCGUGCCUGCCUGCCUCCGAAGGCUAAAAUAAGAGACUCAGAGGCAGAGCAGCAUGUCUAAUUGUCUGACUCGGGAUCAUGACUCACCAUUUCACGCAACACAAGUUUGACGAGCAACUAACUUUCAUUUAACGGCAAAGUGUUUUUUGUUUUAAUUGGUCCUAGGAAAAAGGAAAUUCAAAAGGGGGAACUCCGCCAAAUCUGCUAAAAGUAUCUUCCUUUCUUGGUUGCCGCCUCCAAAGUCAUGGCUCUCACGUCCUUUCAUACUGAACCCCUUCUUCCAAAAGUUCAUAAUUUGUUAAAAAAACAGUAAACUCACUGCCAUGUGAGCUGUUUUUUCGAUUAUUUUAUGGAUAUAUAUAUAUAUUAUUUCUUUCGUUGCUUAUUAGAGGGAAGUCAAAGCACAUAAAGCCAACAAAUAGUGCAGAAUUCAUCCUUUCCUCCCCACCCCAGUUUGAUCCUGCAUCCUUCCUUCUGAUCUCUUCUCCUUCUGCCCCCCCAAAUCUUGCAUCUAAUUACGUCAAGAUUCUUCCUCUUUUUGCAGUGAAAAAGAGCUUUUUUGUUGGUAUUUUACUAUGUUGGUCGAUAUGACAAAAAGUAAGAAAGGUUUUCUUAAAGAUGGUAUUUUCAGAUAAUAUCUGUUGCAGUAGAGCUGCAGCCAUUUCUCUGCCAAUGGUUGUUUUCACUUUACGUAUGUGAGUAAGAAUUACAAGGAUGGAGUCCAGAAAAGAGAAACUAGUGAGGUAAUCUCUGCCACAUCCUCUGUUUUUCAUUUCCCAAUUUCUUUCUUCUUGAAAUUUCGUUGAUAGGGCCUUUCUUGAAUUCUCAGGUUCAACAACAAUGGCAGUACACAUCUAGAGAAGCCACUGCCAGUGUUCAAAGCAACAGCUCCUUUGUUGAAAACUGAAGGAGGUCUUAGUGAUAGAGAUAGUGGUAGCAGAAUUCCCAAAUUUGGAAAGUUUAAGGUUUUUCCAGAGGAUCAUGAGCCACGGAGGGAGAGAAUUCUGGAUCCUGGUAGCGAAAUUUUUUUGCAAUGGAACAGGAUUUUCCUCUUCUGGUGCUUAGUAGCUCUAUUCGUUGAUCCUUUGUUUUUCUACCUGCCUUCAGUAAUAAACAAAGACAAAUCAUCUUGUAUCGAUACUGAUUUAAAUUUAGGAAUUAUUGUGACAUGUUUUCGGACACUUGCUGAUGCAUUUUACGUGUUGCAUAUAAUCAUCAAGUUCCGGACAGCUUAUGUGUCGCCUAUCUCCAGAGUAUUUGGGAGGGGUGAACUUGUCACCGACCCAGAUAUGAUUGCCAGGCGGUAUUUGAGAUCAGAUUUUUUCAUAGAUCUAGUGGCUGCUCUCCCUCUUCCUCAGGUACUUCUACAGUAUGUUUCUCCAUCAAUGGUUUACAACGUUGGAUUUAUGUUCAAUUAAACCAAAUGGUUUAAAUUGGAGGCCUUCGAUGUCGGAAUGGUCUGUUUGUUUAUAAAUAGAAUUCAAAGAUUAAAGUACAGUUCAUGGAAAGUAGCUGAAAUUGAUGUAAAUGUUGCAAGCAAAACAGCUGAAAUUUGAUAAGGUUAUAUGUUUCUUUCACAAGGUUCAAUGUUUACUCUUGAAGUUUGAUAAGAUUAACAUCAGUUUAUUCCUUUUCUUGUUUUGCAGAUUGUGAUAUGGUUCAUUAUACCAGCAAUCAGAAGCACCAAUGCUGAUUAUACUAAUAAUGCACUUGUGCUGAUUGUUCUGCUCCAGUAUGUUCCUCGAUUGUAUCUGAUCUUCCCUUUAAGCUCUCAGAUUAUCAAAGCCACAGGAGUCGUCACAAAGACUGCUUGGGCGGGGGCUGCAUAUAAUCUCCUACUUUACAUGUUAGCUAGCCAUGUAUGUAAUCGUUUCUUACUCGAAUUUCAUCUCUUAUCAGUCAAGUGUCUAUCAUUGUUCCCAUUUUUUAUUGUAUCCUUCCAACUUUAUGGAGUAUGCAUACAAUGAUAUGGCUUCUCUUCUUGUAGGUAUUAGGGGCAUCCUGGUAUCUAUUGUCAAUUGAACGACAUGCAACAUGUUGGAAAUCUGAAUGCAGAAAUGAGACUAGCCCUCUGCGAUGCAAUCCUCAUUACCUUGAUUGUGCCACGUUGAAUGAUGGCCGUCGCCAGAUAUGGGAAAGCAGUACUCUUGUGUAUAGUAAUUGUGAUCCUAGCAAUAAUAUCAGUUUCGACUAUGGGAUUUUUCAAAAUGCUUUGACAAAGAAAGUAUUCUCCUCAGGCUUCCUUCAGAAGUAUUUCUAUUGUCUGUGGUGGGGUUUGCAGAAUUUAAGGUAUGCCUCAAGAACAUGAUGUACAACAGACUACCUUUAUUUCUGUUCUAAAGGUUUGUAUAAUAUUUAGUUGGAUUUAUCCCUGAUAGUUAUAGGUUCCAUUUUUCUCCAUGGAACAGUUAUAUUUCCUGCUUUGCUUGGAUGACAAAUAAAAACAAUUACGCUGUCCACAUACUUUAUUUUAUGGAAAAUUUUGAUGUAUAACUCUGCUUUCUGAAUUUUCAGCUCUUAUGGACAGACAUUGAAUACAAGCACAUUUGUAUGGGAAACCUUGUUUGCCAUACUGAUUGCCAUCUUGGGUCUGGUUCUGUUUGCCCAUUUAAUUGGAAAUAUGCAGGUAUUGCGGAACCCCUGCAUACAAUUGUUACUGCUUUUGACA